GUUCAGAAGAAGUGAAUCAACUUGUUAUGCCUUUUAAUGCAAAUGUGAAGACUAUGAUUAACAAUCUUAAUGCCAAUCUUCCUGGUGCAAGAUUCACCUUCAUUGACAUUGCCCGCAUGUUUGAAGAUCUCCUCACCAAUUAUAGAUCAUACGGUAUGCAAUUUUCCCACUAAACAUAUCGUAUUGUAGUUAGAUAUGAUGUGUGCUGUCUGGCCUAAAAUCUUUUAUUUUAAAAUGUGCGGACACUGACAAAAGAUAAUAAAGAUUUCGUCCUCAUAUUUUAAAAUCAAGGAACAAUUUACAGUGGCUGAACUAGGAGUUUGAUUUGACAAGCACGGCCUAGAGGUGGAAAUAACGGAGAAAUUAUCGUCUUGCUGUGCUACAAUAAAAGCAAGACAUUUUAAAAUUAAAUUUAAAUAAGUGCAUAAAAUAAGCAAAAUUUUACUUAAUAGAAUAAUGUUUAUGAUCACUUUUUUUUUUUUAUCCCAAAUAAUUCUACAGGAUUCAGUGUAAUAGAUCGAGGGUGCUGUGGCAUUGGACGAAACGGAGGCCAAAUUACAUGUCUUCCAUUCCAAACACCAUGUGCAAAUCGAGAACAAUACGUUUUCUGGGAUGCAUUUCACCCAACAGAAGCUGUGAACAUUAUGUUUGGAAGAAAAGCUUUCUAUGGUGACCAGAGCGUUGUUUAUCCCAUGAACAUCCAGCAGCUUGCCAGUCUUUAAACUUAGAAAUUAAAGGGACAUAUAUGUUAUUGUAAUGUUUCUUGCUUGCUUAAUUGCUUUGCAUAAUUAGCCACCGGUGUCUCGUCUGUCCAUGUGAAUUUUUACUUGUUUAAUUUGCUUGUGGGAAGUUUAUGUAAUCAAAGAACAAGUUGUGAUUGUGUUUUAUUGUGUUGCUAGUGGUUCAGUAAUUGGAACUACUUCGAUUAUGUUUUGGUAAUUGAUUUUGCUAGUUUACUAGUGCUUCAGUAGGAUUUUUUUUUUUAAAAUUAUUAACUUAUGCAUCUAUUGAAAUCUGAACUCAAAACUUAAGCCCCAGAGAAAUUGCUUGUUACUGUUGGAAUUAGACUUGACUUUCGUAGUUUAUUAAUCAACUUGCUUGCUAGGUAGCCUUGCCAUAUGAUAUGGUUUGCUAUCUUUUGGGUGGUGAUGUUUCCCUUGCAAUACCCCUCGCAUCUGUGUAAGGACAUCCAUCUAACUUCAUUGAUAUUUUUGGAAGUUAAACUUUCAUCCUUAAUUUGAAUGAUUGAAAGAUAAUAUAUAAUUUCCGCCUCGGUUGAUUCAAAAAGGGUAGAUUUAAAAGAGAGAUUGAUUCAAAACGAUUAAAUUAAACGUUCAAAAUUUUUUAUAAAAAAUGCAAGAUAUCCGCAAACUGUCUAAAAUACAAACCUUUAAUAAAUAAUAUUUUAAAUGAGAUUAUGGGUGGACCAAAAGUCCAUGUACCAAGCCCAAGCAAACGCGCAGAUUUAACAACCCGUUUGGAGCAGCUGUGUUACCAAAUUAUUUAUAGGUUUGGGUUCGGUUACAAAAACUCAAUCACAAAAAUAAAUCGUAAAACCCUUUUUAGAAUUGUAUCCUUCUUUAAAAUUACACUAUAGGACAAAAUUAAAUCUCGUUAAACCCAGCGUAAACAAUUCUUUCACCGAUAAUUUUUCUCCUGUACGUAUUUACUUGUGUUAUCUUAAAGUUUAUAUGAAAAUUAUUGAACCUCAAAAUACAACUACAGAAAAAUCUCAAAAGCCCGUAACAACCCUGUCAAAAAUCAAAAUAGGGACCUUGCUAGAAGACCAUUCCCCGUCAAAUUCCCUUGAAACUUGAGUGGAUAUAUGAUCGAGCAAAAUAGAGAAAAAAAAUUCAAUUUCAGCUUUAAAGUUGUUGUGAACUGGGUACUUAGAGGAGUGCCAAUAGUCCAACUCAGUUCAUAUUCAUGUAGAUUUGAGAUGAAAAAAUAAAUGCCACAAAAUAAACUUAAAUGUUGAAAACUAAUUCUAACCCAACCUGAAUAGAUUUUUAUUGGAAUUUUUUGGUUUAAAUUACUCAAUAGUUUUAGAGUGGAGCUUCUAACAUCCCAUUAAAACUCUUAAGAAACACUACUUAUUCAUUUUUAUAUCUAUUUUUUAUGAAAUUACAAAAAAGUCUACAAGAUUACAAUAGAGUUUUAAUUAAACUUCAGUAUCGACUGUUCUCUUUUGGAGGUAAGCUAGUACUCAUUCGGCAUGUGCUUUCAUCUAUGUCGCUUCAUCUUUUUCAUGUCCUACGGCCGCCUGCUAUGGUCAUUCAGAUCCUUGAGAGGUUAUUUACCAGAUUAUUAUGGACUGAUACGGAUUCUCGGUAGCGCAUUCAUUGGUGCAGAUGGCCAUCUGUCUGUUUUCCAGUGGCGGAGGGUGGUCUUGGAGUUCGUUCCUUUUCUAAUUUGGCCGAUGCUUUCAAGAUGAAGCUAUGGUGGCGAUUACGGGACCAACACUCACUUUGGGCUUCUUUCAUGAAAUCUAAAUAUUGUAGAACUGAGCAUCCAAGUAUGGUUCAAUUUCGCUAUCCUGCAUCUCCUCUAUGGAGAAGAUUAUGAUCUAUUCGUUGUAUUCUUGAACCUCAUAUUCGUUGACUGGUUAGAUUGGGUGAUAGUAGUUUCUGGUAUGAUUGCUGGCUUGAAUCUACGCAUCUCUUUCAUUUUAAUCCUUCAGUAGCUUCUAUGGCCCCAAUAUCUUCUUUUUGGUGUGGUGUGGAUUGGGACAAGGGGAAGCUUUUAUCAGUACUGCCAUCUUUAGUUGUUGAACAAAUUUUGUUAGUACCGAUUUCUGGUACUGGUCCAGAUAUACUUCGUUUGGCAAUAUUUAGGGAUGAGAAUUUUUCUCUAAUGAAUAAUUGGGAAUUUGUACGUGGAUCCCGUAACCAGAAUGAGGUUUUUUCUUUAAUUUGGCAACGACAUAUUCCUUCGCGGGUUUCUUUUUUCUUGUGGCAUUUAUUGAAUGGUUUCUUGGGCACGGAUGAUGCUUUGUACUUGAGGGGUUUUCACAUGGUUUUUCGGUGUCUUUGUAAUGGGGAUGUUGAAAUUGUCAAACCCUUAUUUUUGGAUUGUCCAGUGGUUCAAUAGGUUUGGCGGUGGUUUUACUCAAUGAUUGGUCGUCCGUAUCUCCCUUUUUUGUCUCUUCAUGCUUUGCUUAGUCACUGGCGACGGUGUUGCCGUUCUUCAAAACAUAUUGAGUAAUUCUCCCAUGUUUCAUUCUAUGGCAUGUUUGGAAGGCUCGAAACACUCUCAUGUAUGAUUCAGUUGCCUUUAAUGUGAACGUUGUUAUUUUUAGAGUGCUCGUGGAUAUUAGGCUAGUCAGUGACGCGUUUGGUUUCAAGACAUCUCAGUUGAGGGGCAUUUUGGACACUCAGAUUGGGGAGGGAUUGAGAAUUAUCAUGCCUCCCCGUAGACCACCUCGAUUGGUUUCUUGGAUGAAAUCGUAACCGGAGGUGGUGAAGUUGAGCGUGGAUGGUUGUUCUAGAGGAAACCCAGGUAUUGCUGCUACUGGUGGUGUUCUACGAGAUCAUCAAGGCGUGAUAUUAGCUGCUUUUGGUUCCUUUUUGGGGCACCAAUCUAUUCUUUUUGCUGAAUUGAUGUCUCUGUUAGAGGGUUCAAAUCUUGCUGCUCAACUUGGUUUCUCUGAUCUUGGGGUAGAAUCUGGUUUAGCCACUGUAGUUUCUUGGGCUAUUUCAAGUGGUUUUGUGCGAUAGGAUUUUAUUUACCUCCUUGGGUGUGUUCAGGCAUUGGCUUCUAGCCUAUCUAUUAUUAUUAGGCAUGUUUUUCGAGAAGCUACAUUUGCUGCUGACUUUAUGUCCAAUUGGGCUUGUACUCAUCAGACUUGUCAACGAUUUUUCAAUCCUAGUGAUCUUCCAGCCAAUUUAUUAGGCAUUCUUCAUUUGGAUACUCUCAGAAUUCCAUACAUUCGGCAUUAAUCACCUUGAUUUGAAUUGGUUUUAUUUGAUCACUAAAUUAUUUACUUUUCCUGGGAGGUUUUGGUUUAUGUCUCCUUCCUUAUGUUCUUUCAUUGAUUGAUUUAUUUACAGGUAGGGGUCUAGCCUAACCCCUAAUUAUCUUGGUGGAUUAUUAAAAAAAAUAUUUUUUCAUAAUAAAAUUAUUAUUAUUAUUAGGUAAUUUAUUUCUUCAUUAUAUCAAAGUUAUUUUUGACUUUAUCAAACAAAUAAGGUUUAAAAAAUAGUUAGGGUUUAUGAUUUAUAAAGACAUUUUAGUUUGAUUAAAUUCUUAUUUUUUCUUUAGGUAAUUUCUAAGAAUAUUAAAGGGGUGUGAACAACAGUAAUCAUGAUUAAAUUAGAUUAAAAAUUUUUCAAUGUAAAUACAUUUGGAAUUGAUUGGGUUAAUCCCAACAUUCGCUCACCCCUAAAAUGGCUUUAUAUAUAAUCAUUAUUAUGAAAAAUAUAAUGAUAGCUUCAACUCUUAACUGAACUUUUUGGUUGAGAGAGGCUUACAUCACUCAACAUGUAUUAAUAUUCAAUACUAGAAGAGAAGCUUUAUCUAGAUUGGUAUAUUUACCAAAUAAUACUACAAAAUAUAAAAGUUUUAAUGGCGUGUAUCAAACAGGGUGUACUUCCAUCACUAUCUUAAGAGUGGUGAUUUUUUAUCCCUUAUUGUAUUUCACAAACCCCCAUUUUUCAGUUAAUUGCAUUAAAAAUUUUAAACAAAUUUUUAUCUCUCAAUGUACCUUACCUAAUCUCUAUUUUACCCUUAUUUUAAAUUUUUUUUCAUACACCCAUCAUAUAAAAUUUAUAAAAUCAUUUCUUAUAAAAACAAAUCUCUCAUAAUCAUUGUAAUUUCUCAACUUUUUUUUAAAGAUUUUAUCCAUCACUUAAGAUUUGAUAGUUGCACCAAGAAUUGGAGUAAGAACUAUUAAGUUUUAUAUGAAUCUGUGAUAUUGUUUGGUUAACGAGAAAAUAAGAAGAAGAGAAAUCUUUUGAAAGCUAAAAAUUUUGUUCUAUUGAUCUUAAUGAAUCUGGAAAUUACAAGGCUUUUUAUAUGUGCUUGGAAAAGAUUCUACACACAUCACAUGCACACAUAGUUCACUGCUAAUAACCUCUAUAACAAAUUAUAACAAACUUUAGCUGACUCAGCUGCCAUGUCAGCAUACUCAUUAAUUAACUAAUUUUGUACUUAACACCCCCCUCAAGUUUAAGGUCUCGGAAGAACAUUAAGCUUGUUACGCAAAUAAGCAAACUGAUCAUAGGCUAAAGGCUAAGUAAGAAUAUCUGUUAUUUGAUCAAAGCUGGGAACAUGAUCAAUAGAAAGUUCAUGCUUGGCUAUAUGGUCUCGAACAAAAUGAAGAUCAAGUUCUAUAUGUUUGGUGCGUGAAUGGUACUUUGGAUUACUAGCUAAUGCUUCAGCACUCUUAUUGUCACAAUAUAGAACAUGAAGCUUGAGCAAGGAAACCUUGAGUUCUUUUCACAGAUAAGUGAUCCAAAGCAUCUCAGAAAUAGCAAGUGCAAGUGCCCUGUACUCAGACUCUACUGUUGAUCUAGAGACAAUAGGGUCCUUUUUUGAGGACUAUAAGACUAGAUUGUUGCCAAGAAAUACACAAUAACCACCAAUGGAUUUUCUAUCAUCAGGGUCUGAUCCCCAAUCAGCAUCAGAAUAAACAUUUAGAAUGAGAGAACCUAAAUUAAGAAAUUGAAGUCCAAAGUUUGCUAUGCUCUGUAGAUACCUCAGAACCCUCUUACAAGCUUGCCAAUGAAGGGCAGUAGGUGCAGCAAGAAAUUGGCUUAACUUGUUGACUGAAAAGGCAAUAUCAGGCCUUGUUAAAGUCACAUACUGAAGAGAGCCAAUAAUGCUUCUAUAGAGGGAAGGAUUCUCGAAUAGGACUCAAUUUUCUUUCUUUAACUUUUCAGUUGUACUCAUUGGGGUGUUAUAGCCCUUGUUGUCUAACAUGUAUGCCUUUUGAAGAAUAUCACCAAUAUAUUUAGUUUGAGAGAGAUGUAAACCAUCUAGGCUAGGAGUUACUUCUAUGCCAAGAAAAUAGUUGAAUUCUCCCAAGUCUUUGAGAUCAUAAGUAAAGCCAAGCUUACUGAUUACCCCAUCUACAUGCUGUAUAUUUAAUCCAGUGAUAAGUAUGUCAUCCACAUAAAUCAGAAUAACCAAAAUUUCAAAACCAGCAUGUUUAAUAAAGAGAGAAGCAUCAGACUUUGAAGUUUGAAAACCCCAUUGCAUUAAUGAACCUUUCAGCUGAUCAUACCAAGCCCUUGGAGCUUGUUUGAGACUAUAUAAAGCCUUGUUAACUUGCAAACAUGAGAAGGAAAUCUAGAAUCAAUGAAGCCCUCCAGUUGGUGCAUAUAUACAUCUUCAGUAAGUACUCUAUUCAAGAAGGCAUUGUUGAUGUCCAAUUGCCUGAUAGUCCAGUGUUGCACCACUGCUAAACUGAGAAUAAUCCUUACUGUACAAGGCUUUACAGCAGGGCUAAAAGUUUCAAAGAAAUCCACUCCAUGUGUCUAGUGAAAACCUUUAGCAACCAGGCAUGCCUUAUACUUAGAAAUGCUUCCAUCUAAGUUGUAUUUAAUUCUGAAAACCCAUUUGUUACCUACAAUAUUGGUGGCUGAAUAAGAAUGAACCAGAGUCCAUGUCUGUUUCUAUGCAAAGCAUAUAUCUCUUCUUUCAUAGCCAUAUACCACUUCUGACUAGAUAGGGCUGUUUUGACACUUGUUGGUUUUAUGUCCUGAGUUGCUGCUAGAUAUGUGUUGGGUUUGAAUAUUCCAGAUUUUGCUUUAGUAACCACAAGGUGUUUAGAUUUUGAAGGUAUAGAAGAGAUAUAUAAGGUAUUUGUUGGAGUUGGAGGAUGGCUUAAGGCUAGACUUGGCUCAGGGCAGCAACAUGGAGUUAAGUUUCACUUCUUGGUUCUAAAAUUGCUAUAGAUGGUGAAACUACAUUACUGUCAUCAAGAUGAGGAUUUGAGAGAGAAAAAUGAGUGAAAGACAGACUUGCAGGGGUGACACAUUUUAUUGGAAUAGAAGUAGAGUUGUGAACAGAAAACAACUCUGAAUAUGGAAAUUCAGACUCAUUUAACAUAACAUGUCUAGCAAUGUAAAUUCUACCUGAUUUGUCUAGACACUUAUAACCUUUAUGCAUAGGGUUGUAGCCAAUAAAGACACAUUUUUGUGUAUGAAAAUCUAACUUGUGUUGUUGUAAGGUCUUAACAGUGGAAAGCAUGAGCAGCCAAAGACUUUGAGAAACUAAUAAUCAGGUAAUUGAUUAUGCAGCUUUUUAUAAGGUGUUUUAUUGUUUAGGAUUGGUGUAUGUAUCUUAUUUAUCAAAUAAGAUGUUGUGUGAAAAGCUUCCCACCAAAAGGUAAGUGGUAGAUUUACUUCAGCAAGAAGGGUAAGAUCAGUUUCAAUAAUGUGUCUGUGUUUCCUUUCCACAACUCUAUUUUGAUGAUGUGUAUGGGGACAACUAAAUCUGAUAUGUAUCCCUUGUUGUUGAAGAAAGGAUCCAAAGGCUCUAAAUUCACUCUCCAUGUCUGAUUGUAUGGUUUUAAUGGAUAACGAGAAUUGUUUUUCAACAAGGAGUUUGUAAUGUUUAAAUGUGUCUAAUGCUUCUGAUUUUAAGGUGAGAGGAAAUAUCCAACAAUAUCUGGUAAAGUUAUCUACAAAGGAUAUGUAAUAUUUAUAUCCAUCUUUGGAUGGCAUUGAUGCUAGCCCCCAAAGAUCAGCAUGUAUCAAUUCAAGUGGUGCUCUGGUUUUUAUUUUGGUUACAGGAAAAUGAAACUGAUGUAGCUUCCCAUAUUGACAGGCAUCACAGAAACUAAGAGAAUGUGUAUUAACAACAUGUGAAGGUUGAGUCUUUAAAAUGAUUUGCAUAGCAUGUUUAUUAGGAUGACUAAGCCUAUUAUGUAACAAUUGCAUUGAGAUACAACCUGAAGUAUUGAUACUUGUAGGAGCAUUAUUGAAAGAAAUUGAAUCAACAGACACUGACUUGACAGACUUUGUAAUAGAGUUUACAAUUUUAUUUGAAACAACAUACAUCAUUGAACUUGGUUGAAAGACUUGUACUUCAGAAUUUGAGCGGAAAUCAUCUUGAAACAGUAAUUUGUAAAGGCCCCCUUUAGCAAUUCCCUAUGCUAGUAAUGUCCCCUUCACCUUGUCCUUUACAAAACAAAAAUAAGAGGAAAAUUCUAUUAUAACAUUGUUAUUAGAAAGGAGCUUGGACACACUGAUGAGAUUUUUUGUUAUAUGAGGAACACAUAGCAUGUCAGUAAGAUGCAAUAUAGCUCCAAGUGAUGAAUAAAAACAGGUAUAACCAAUAUGAGUAAUAGAGAGGCCUUUACCAUCACCAACCAGUAGCAUCUCAGAACUAGAAUAAUUUGUGAGAUGAUGAGUGGCUCCACUGUCUAAGUACCAGCCUUGAUCAGCAACUCCUUCUGAUGUCACCAUGUAUGCAGCUCUUGGACCUUGAUUUUGAGGUGGAAAGGAACCUUGAACUGGAGGAUUUGGCAUUAAGUUUCUAUUGAACCUAUCCCUGCACUCAAUAGCUGAAUGAUUUGGCUUGAAACAAAUCUGACAUAUAAUACCUCUACCACGUCCUCUUCCAGAACCAUUAAAACCAGCAACAAAACCAUUACCAUUAAAUCCACCAAAGCCAAAGCCAAAUCCAUUACCAUUAAAUCCAGCAAAGCCACCUCUGCCUUGAUUACCUCCCUGAUUUCCAUUCCAUUGUCCCCUUCCAGCAGCAUAUCCUACAUAAAAAAUAUGUGAUAUUACAGACACAUUAACACAUUAAUAUCACAAAAAAUCUGAUUCUCCAUUUUGAUUUACUGUCAUGCUAUGUGUUCCCCAUAUAACAAAAAAUCUCAUCAGUGUGUCCAAGCUCCUUUCUAAUAAUCAUGUUAUCCAUGCCAAGUCGGUCCUGAAUAACCUUAGUAUCGUGCUAAGUCUCUCAACCCAAAGUUGAGUGAAGCAAUACAAGAAUUUGGCCAAGGAGUUGGACGUGAUAAAGAUAGAGAUUUUUUAUUAUGAUAAUUGAUUUGGAACAAAAAAGGGGAUUCUUGAUUUCCUUUUGUAUGCAUCCGGAUCUUGUAUUGAAGUUUAUCUGUUCAUGGACCAGAAUGCAUUGCAUUUAGAAAGUGUUUGCAAUAGUACAGUGAUAUUACUUGGAUAGUAACUUGGCGUUGCAGUGCAUUUACAGAACGAAUGAAAAUUUGGAAUCGUGGUGGAAAAUGCUGUCAGAUAUCUAUCUGAGAAUGAAAGCACUCGCUGUCAGUCUCUAUGGGAUUGCAGUAUAAAAUUUUACGUUAUUCAAUUUUUUGAAUAGAAUGACUUAUUUUGAAUGGAAUGGACUAGUUUUAAAAAGUAAAAAAAAAAUAGAGUUUAAGAAAUCACAUUAGCUUAAUUAGUUAUUAAUAAAAAAUUUUAUAUGGGUGCACUUAAAAAUUAUAUAUUCUUUUAAAUAAUUUCACAUGAGGAUAAAAUAAGUAUUUAUAUAAAAAUUAUUAAUGGGGUUGGUAGAAUAUAAUAAGGGAUUUAAAUAUCACCACUCUACCCAUAGAGCAACCCAAAAACGAUCUCAUGGGCCGAAAAAGACCUGACCCAUUGAACGAGGACCCUUAAAAUUUGAACCUACCUUGACUCACACGAUAGGCUGAACAGGUCAGUAGCAUAUAUUUAAUAAUUAAUAUUAUGUUAUUAAUAUAACAAGUAAAUCUUGAUGCCAUCAACAUAAAACAUAAACAAAAAAAUAAAUUGAUAUUCAUGUGCAUGUUUAAUGCUUUAUUUAUAUAAGAUUAUAAUUCUCUUUUCAUCUGAGUUUUUAUUUGAGCAAAUACAUUUAUUAGUAGUUAACAUAUAGAAGCACAGUAGGUAUAUCUCGGCCGUGCGCACGUACAUGUCGAAAGAUAAUGAUAAAAAAGUUCCUUCAGAAUUCAUGGGCAUGCACGCACGCUACUUGUGGAACUCCAUAACCCAUAAAUUGAAAAAAAAGCAAUCAAAUCUGACGCCACUAAAUCCAGCUCCAGUAGCCAAGGUCAUGAAUUCAUGCUUUGUUCGCUCCUUUCCUCCCGGAUAUUGAGUCAUCACCAGCACAUCACCUAGGAAAUUUAUUUUUGAAUGAGUGCUAGUCUCGGGCAGUUCUGGAAGUACUGACUCCACAACAAUUACCUUUCCUCCUUCGGGGAUACUUUUGUGGCAGUUCUUCAAUAACUUCAAGCAAUGUUCAUCGCUCCAAUCGUGCAGUAUCCACUACAAAAUUUGAAAUAUUAUUAAAUUUGUUCAAGGAUCGAACACCUAAUACCUGCAAAUUAAAUUCAAAUGAAUCUUACCUUGAUCAAAAUGGCGUCACCAUUUGGAACACUUCGGAACAUGUCACCCCCUACAUGCUUAACACCUGUACUACGUACAAUUUAGUUUCCUGUGUUAGGAUCUGGCGGUAUGGUGGGCAGAGAAUUUAUAAGAGCACUGAUAUUCGGGACAAAAUUUUAGAUAAAAUUCUGACAAAAACAACAAUAUAUCAAACCUGAUUUUCUUAACUGAAUUGUAAAUCGAGGCUGUUUUAAUGUUUUUUGUCACUUUUUCUUUUUGCAACAUUUUAUCUUUUUACCAUUUUUUUCCCCAAAUGAUAAUGUGUAUUUCUUCAUAACAAUGACAUUCAAAGAAAAAGAAAAAAAGAGAUUGGAAUCAAUUUUCUAAUUAACUUUCUACCUUCUCCAGGAUUUAUAUUGGGAUGGUUAAUUAAAGAAAGCUACCUAAAAGCCACUUAACUACGUCCGUAACAUUAUUAUAAAUAUAAUUGAUAGUUCAUACCAGGAUACUCAGGGGCAUGCUGUAUAACAUGAGGCAAGUCGAAAUUGAUGCCCUUAAUGUGGGGAUACUUGGAAAUAAUUGCUUUAAGGGUAUUACCAAGGGAACCGCCAACAUCAACCAAUUGCUUUAUGUGCUCGAAACCCUUGUAAGCCUCAAGGAUUUUCUGAAUGACCAAAGUGGUAUGGUUGUACAUCGCUGUGCUGAAAACUUCAUUGAACCUGGGGUCCAAUCCGAGGUACUCGAAAGCGUGCGUUCCGUGGACUCUGUCAAAUGGAACUCCUCCUUCAAUAAUAGUUUCUUUCAGUUGGGACCUACACGACCAGUUAAUCAAUCAGUCCAGAAUUAGGUUUAGAUCCAGAUCUUUUACUCUUCUCAUCAUUUUGCGUUUGGCUUAACUUUCUUAGAUACACUGAUUAGUGGUUGAUAAAAAAAAGAAUAAAAGGAUAUAUCUAUAUUAUAUAUAUCACGAUGUAUACAUUUCAUAAAAUCCCUUAACAGAUAAGAUGAGUAGAGGAUUCAUUUCCAUAAAAAAAUUUAUUUUAUAUCUUAACUCAUAAUUGUCUCAUACAUCUUUAUGAAAACGAGCAAAAAAAUGGAAAUCAGGGUAAUAUUAUCAUACGGGUUGGUUACUAAAUUUUAGCAACGUCACAAUUAGGAGAUAUGUAGUUUGUAGUACCUUUACAUAUAGCUAGGCCCUGCUGUUUUUAUUUUGUUUUCCCUAAAAGAUUUUAUUUCUAAUUCUCUCCAGGCAUGUGAUCGUACCACCACAAGUGAAUCUUUUAAUUGAGCGAAAUUCUAUGGAUGAAGUUAAGAAAUUUUUGGUCUUCGAGGAUUUCUGUCAGAACUGAAGCAAUUACUCAAUUAAUGCAAACAACAUUACUCAAUUAAAGCUUUUAAUAGAACAAAAUACAUUGUCUUUUUUCAUAUUUGUUACACUCACGUCCUCUAUAAUUAAAAGACAACAAUACCCCCGAAAGAAGACAUUUUUCCUCAUAUCCUCUGUAACCGCAAGUAAUUAAAACAUCACCAACAAUAUUUUAUCCAUUCUUGAAUUGAUAUGACUAGAAGUAUAUUUAAUAAUGAUUAAUAAGCUUGAGAGUGUACAUUCUACAUUUAUCGCUCACAUAUAUGAACACAUUUUUUUUUUUCGAUGACCUGAAUUUAGAAAUAAGUUGAGUAUGAAGUCGAUUAUGAUUUAAUACUUGGGAGAAAUGCAUGAUUGGAUCUGAAGGCGUGGGAAGAGAAAUUGUAUUAUAAACCCAUGUAUUUUACCCUAACUUAAAAAAAGAAAAAUUCAGAGGAUUAAAAUGAUAGAGUGGACAAACCAGCUGUCGAGAAAGGCCUUGUCCUGAAUUAAGGCCAACACAGGGCCUAAUGAGACACCAUCUUGAUUAGACACAAAGUAUUUGCAGACAUCAUUCAAACCGUAUAGUCUGUGUGACCCAUAGACAUCAUCAAGUGCGCAUUGAACAAUACCAUAGCUAGCCAGAAGCCUGAGUAUCCGGUCCAGCAUCAUGGGUGCGUCUUUGUUCUUGGUGGCGGGCAACUGAGCGGCAAUCUCUGAAGCUGAGAGCUUUGCUCCAGGACCAGCUUUGGCUAUGAUCUCGAAAAGUCCCAGCUUAAUUACUGCUUUCAUGGUCAUGUGGAGCACUGAACCCGUCACCAGUUCGCAGGCAUAUGCAAAGUUUUCGUCUCUCUGUUCAUUAGCCAUAUUUUCUCGAAUUUCCUUAUCUGUGUUCCUCAAAAACAAUGCAUUUAUAGCAUAAGUGGCUCUUCCUUUAGGCAAUUCAGGCGGUUGUCUAGGGCCCCACUAUAAAUGAUGGCCCUUAAUUUUAUUCCUAACUUAUAGUUAUUAAUUAUUAAUUUAUGUUUGUUAUUAUUUUAUAAUUACAUUUUCCAUAAACAAACUAUUAAAUCCUUAUAAAGUCCCCUUUUAACAUUAUAAUUAACAAUUAUAAUCCCAUUUAUUUUCUCCAUAUAUUUCAUCUAAAACUCUAUAAAGGCCACAUAUUUUUUUAAAUUAUUAUCCAUUAAUAUCUUUUUCCUAUAAAAAAAAUGCACGAAACCUUCAUUACUUUGGUGAAAAUACUACUUUCUCUACCCUACUUUUCACUUAAGGAAAAAAAAAUCAAUUGUUUUACUAUUCAUUAAUCACUGCUACUCAAAGGCUCAAUACAUCAAAGUUGCUACUCAAAGGCUCAAUACAUCAAAGUUAAAGUUCUCAAAUUUCUAGGUUCUAUCUUUCCAUUCUCUUAUUAAUUAAUUAUGUUAUUUAGUUUUCUUGUAAUUAUCUAGUAAAAUUGUUUGCUUAAUUAUUCUUGUUUCACGAGAAAAAAAGAAAUGUCUACUAAAAAAAUAUGCAUUAGGAUACAAAAAACUUCAAAAACAAGAGAAGAAUAGAAAAGUUAGUUUAAUCUCAAAAAGGAGUUUUACUCAAUGAUUGGUCGUCCGUAUCUUUCUUUUUUGUCUCCCCAUGCUUUGAUUAGUCACUGGCGGUGGUAUUGCCGUUCUUGAAAACAUAUUCGAGUCAUUCUCCCAUGCUUCAUUCUAUGGCAUGUUUGGAAGGCUCGAAACACUCUCAGGUACAAUUCUGUUGCCUUUAAUGUGGAUACUGUUAUUUAUAGAGUGCUCCUGGAUAUUACGCUAGUCAGUGACAUGUUUGGUUUCAAGUCAUCUCAGUUGAGGGGUAUUUUUGAUACUCAGAUUGGGGAGGGAUUGCAGAUUAUCAUGCCUCCCUGUAGACCACCUCAAUUGGUUUCUUAGAUGAAACCGCGACUGGGGGUGGUGAAGUUGAGCAUGGAUGGUUGUUCUAGGGGAAACCUAGGUAUGGCUGCUACUGGUGGUGUUUUGCGAGAUCUUAAAGGCGUGGUAUUAGCUGCCUUUGGCUCCUUUCUGGGGCACUAGUCUAUUCUUUUUCUGAAUUGAUGGCUCUGUUAAAGGGUUUGGAUCUUGCUGCUUAGCUUGGUUUUUCUAAUCUUGAGGUGGUAUGUUAAAUUAUAUUUAAAUAAUAUUAACUAGCAUUUAAUUUGAUAUUUAAAUAUGAAUAUCAAUUAUUCAUGAAAUUUUAUAAUAAUAAGUAAACAAAUUUAAAAAGCCAUUAAUAAGAAAAUUAAGUAUACUAUAAAUUAGUUAUUAGGUAGUCAUAAUAUAAUAAACAAAUGAAAAAGAAAUAAAACAAUUUAAAUAUUUAAUUAAUUUUUAUCAAAUAUUUAAAAAAUUAUAGAAAAUCAAUUAAUUAUGGUAUUUUUAUUUUUCAUGAUUAUUUUUACCAUUUAUUAGUGAUUAUUAAAAUUUGUACAAUCAUAAUCCAAUAAGUUAUUAAAUGGUUAAUUUAUAAAUUAUUAAAUAUAUAAGCAAUGAAAAUUAAAUCUCAAGAGUUAUUAGAAGUAAAACUGCCAAUUUAAUUAGAUCAUAGUAAUAAAUAAAAAAUCUUAAGUAAAUCAUAGGUAAAAAUUAAUUAAUUAAUUAAUAUUAACAAAAAUAUUUUUUUAAUCUUAUCCCAACUCAAUCCAUGUGUGAAUUAAGAUUACUAAUCUGUGAUUUUAUAAUUAAAUUCAAAUUUAGUCUCCUUUAAUCCAAUUCAAGUAAUUUUAUCAAAUAUGAAAUAAAUAUUUAAUUUUAAAAUUAGUCCAAUUCGAGAUUUAAUUCUGACAUCCAAACAUAGCCUUAGUUGCCAUAAAGGCAACUUACAAAGAGUUGUAACCGAAAACAUUUAUAAAGCUUUUUUUUAAGAAUUGUUUUUUCAGGUUCAUAUAUAUAUACAUACAUAUAUAUAUAUAUAUAUAUAUAUAUAAUCUUUCCGCCAAUGAAGAGCCCGCCAAUCAGAGAAGUUAAUUUUUAAAUUUCUUUUUCGACGCCGGCACCAUCCCUGCAUCUUAUAGCUUUUUUUUUUUCUUUUGAAAGACUGAAUCUUAUAGCUUUGAUUCCAGAUGAAUGAGGCUUUUCAUUCAUGUUAUUCUUUGAACGAUUGUGAUUCCAGAGGCUGCUGAUAAGACAAAUUCAAAUUUACGUUUUUAAUAAUUAUUAUCUUUUCUAAGGAUUUAAAAAUUUAUAUGCGUAACGUACAGCUAAUGUAAUGUAAGUUUUACCUGAUGUAUGAGUUGAUGAACCAUCACGGUGAAAUCAAAAUAUAAAAAAAUAACAGAGGUCAAUAACCGCAACCAAAAGAAAAGAAAAAGUAAAACACAAAGAAAAUAAGGCCAUUGGAUUCGUUUUUUCAAAUUUUUUCCUGAAUAUUAAUACUUUAUAAUGAAGAACUUGUUAAUAUUUAUCAUAAAAAUAUUGUUGAUACAAUCCUACGUCAAUUUUGUUAUAUUAUAGUACAAUUCAAAAGUUUUAUUUUAUUUAAAAAUAUAUUUGUCCUACCAAAUUUAUAAAAGAUAUUGUAAAAUAAUUAAAUUAAUUAAGAUAAAAGCUGUCUCCAAUCAUAGUUGCUCAAGUUUCAAGUGUGCUCUACAUUCACUAAAUUUUAUAAAAGCAUCUUCCCGCUUUUUCCACUUUAUAGCUUCUCUCUUUUUAUGAAAAAUAAAUCCUUAGCAAGUAUAGAUUUGGUUAGGGUAGAACCUUUUUUGUAAUAGUAUUUGAUAACUUAGAAGACUGCACUUCUUCCAUCAAAGAAGUGAAAUUAAUAGCUUUUAUCACUUCCAUUAUAAAAAUGAUCAGUAAACUAUGACGCUAUCACUCGAAAUAAAUAAGUAGGUUAUUAAUACGAGUUUAUCUAGUUAUUUAUUUUUUAAAAAUCACUUAUCAUGUGGACUAUAUAAUGAAAAUUCAUGGAAAUAUAUGUACCCACAUUUAACUAUAUAAUUGAGAUAAGAAAUUAGAGGUCCAAGGAGUAGUAUUCAAAUCUGCAACGUCAAAGUCGAGGUUGUGACAGGCAAAAGAAAAAGAAUAAGCAUGUGUUUUUGGGAAAAGAACCCAUACAAACAAUUGCAAAUUAAGCAAAAAAUAACUUUUUUUCCUCUUUGUAUGAUAUAAUUGGAAUGUGUACAACAAACAAACAAGCCGAAAAUAAACCAAUACAAUCUAAAAUAAUAAAUCAACCAUAAGAGAUAUAGAUUUUUUAGAUGGAAAACCUAAAUUGAGCAAAAAACCAUAGAACUGUAGUCCAAUAUAACCUUUCGUUAUAUUAAUAAUGGGAUUACAACACAAAUUCUUCUUCAGAUAGCAUUAGAGGCUAACAACAUCAAGAAUCUCAACAAUCUUGGCUUAUAGUAAUAAUCUAAUAUUUUUCUCUCUAACAAAUGGGUAAUCUCAAAUAAUAGCCAAUGAGAGAUAAAAUAAAAAUCAAGACUAGUAAGAUUAUAGAGGAUGAUAACAGAAACUUACCUCCAAAUUUGGAAGAAAAUGAAUUUAAAUUUACCUUACGAUCGUCCAAUCAAAGAUUAAAACCCUUACCUCCAAAUUGGAAUAAUCGGGCAUUGUAUUAUUUUUGAUUAAAACCCUUACCUCCAAAUUGGAAAAAUCGGGCAUUGUAUUAUUUUUCUCUCUCAUGUUUAUACAUUUUUAAGUCUAUCGCUUCACUUAUUUACUUUUUCUUUUAUAUCCAAGUGAUUUUGAAAGCCAAAUUUAAUGGUAAUUUUCAAUUAGUCAUAACCUGUUUCCUUUAACUAUUUAAACACCCAAACUAAUGGAAACUUUGAGUUGGGCCAAAAAAUGAAAUGUAUGUAACAAAUCUUCUCCACCAGAUUAUGUUGGGGACACCACCAAGCCCAUUCUCUACUUAUAUUCUUUCAACUUCUCCUUGGGCAAUGACUUUGUCAUGAUAUCCGACUUAUUCUUCAUGAAUCUUCUCAGACUGCAACUUUUUCUUUUCAGGCACGUCUGUACCCAAAGAUAUCUCACAUUCAUAUGUUUGGAUUUCGAAUGGUAUGCUGAAUUCAUUACCAAGUGAAAGAACUUCUAGAUUAAAUUGGAUUAAGAUGGAUUGCUAUAAAUUGAAAAGUCUAAUUUUAAUCUAAAAUUAAUAUUAACCUUAACCUAGUUGAGCAAAUGGACUUUUAAGAGAAAUUAAUCUAAUUAAACUAAGAAAGAAAUUAAAACAAUGGAGAAUUCAAUAAGACAAAAAAUUAUUAAGGUUUCAGAAUCCACCACUAUUUAAUUAGUAAAAUUAUCUAAUUGUUAAUUAAUCCUCAAUUUUAGAGUGAUAACUCAAAAUUUUAUAAUAAUAAGUAAACAAAUUUAAAAAGUAAAUAAUAAGAAAAUUAAGUAUAUUGUAAAUAAUUUAUUAGGUAGUCAUAAUAUAAUAAACAAACAGAAAAUAAAUAAAAUUUUAAAUAUUUAAUUAAUUUUUGUCAAAUAUUAAAAAAAUUAUAUAAAAUCAAUUAAUUAAGGAAUUUUUAUUUUCAUGAUUAUUUUUAAUAUUAUAUUAGUAAUUAUUAAAUUUUAAUCAAUCAAUAAUGCAAUAAGUUAUUAAAUGGUUAAUUUAUAAAUUACUAAAUACACAAGUACUAAAAAUUUAUUCUCAAGAGUUAUUAGAAGUAAAACUACCAAUUUAAUUUGAUCGUAGACAAUAAAUAAAAAAUCUUAACUAAAUCACAAAUAAAAAUUAAUUAAUUAAUAAAUAUUAUUAAUUUUUUUCUUUAAUUUUAUACCAACUAAACCUAUGUGUAAAUUAGAAUUACUAAUCCGAUGAUUUUAAUAUUAAAUUCAAAUUUAGUCUCCUUUAAUCCAAUUCAAGUAAAUUUAUCAAAUAUGAAAUAACUAUUUAAUCUUAAAAUUGACCCAAUUCCAUACUUAGUCCUGUCAUCCAAAUAUAGCAUUCGUUUCCUUAAAGGCAACUUACAAAGAGUUGUAACCGAAAACAUUUAUAAAGCCAUUUUUUUUUCGGGUUCAUAUAUAUGUAUAUAUAUAAUCUUUCUGCCAAUGAAGCGCCUGCCAAUCAGAGAAGUUAAUUAUUUUUUUAAUUUCUUUUUCGAUUAUGAUUCCGGAGGCUGCUGUCAAGACAAGACUCCAGAGGCUGCUGAUAAGAAAAAUUCAAAUUUACCUUUUUAAUAAUUAUUAUAUUUUCUAAGGUUCAAAAUUUUAUAUGGGUAACGUACAGCUAACGUAAUGUAAGUUUUACCUAAUGUAUGAGUUGAUGAACCAUCACGGUGAAAUCAAAAUAUAAAAAAAUAACAGAGGUCAAUAACCGCAACCAAAAGAAAAGAAAAAGUAAAACACAAAGAAAAUAAGGCCAUUGGAUUCGUUUUUUCAAAUUUUUUCCUGAAUAUUAAUACUUUAUAAUGAAGAACUUGUUAAUAUUUAUCAUAAAAAUAUUGUUGAUACAAUCCUACGUCAAUUUUGUUUUAUUAAUACAAUCCUACGUUAUUUUAUUUAAAAAUAUAUUUAUCCAACCAUAUUUAUAAAAGAUAUUGUAAAAUAAUUAAAUUAAUUAAGAUAAAAGCUUUCUCCAAUCAUAGUUGCUCAAGUUUCAAGUGUGCUCUACAUUCAUUAAAUUUUAUAAAAGCAUCUUCCCGAUUUUUCUACUUUAUAGCUUCUCUCUUUUUAUGAAAAAUAAAUCCUUAGUAAGUAUAGAUUUGGUUAGGGUAGAAACCAUUUUGGUAAUAGUAUUUGAUGACUUAGAAGACUGCACUUCUUCCAUCAAAGAAGUGAAAUUAAUACCUUUUAUCACUUCCAUUAUGAAAAUGAUCAGUAAACUAUGACGCUAUCACUCGAAAUAAAUAAGUAGGUUAUUAAUACGAGUUUAUCUAGUUAUUUAUUUUUAAAAAAUCACUUAUCAUGUGGACUAUAUAAUGAAAAUUUAUGGAGAUAUAUGUACCCACAUUUAAUUAUAUGAUUGAGAUAAGAAAUUAGAGGUCCAAGGAGUAGUAUUCAAAUUUGCAACCUCAAAGUUGAGGUUGUGGCAGGCAAAAGAAAAUGGAGAAGCAUGUGUUUUUGGGAAAAGAACCUGUACAAACAAUUGAAAAAAAAUCAUGAACCGUAGUCCAAUAUAACCUUCCGUUAUAUUAAUAAUGAGAUUACAACACAAAUUCUUCUUUAGAUAGUAUUAAAGGCAAUGGCGAAGCUAAGGGUUGGCUAACCCGGGCUGCAACCCGGGUUAGCUUUUUGAAAAAAAUAAUAAUUAUAAUUUAUGAAUUUGUCUUUAUUAAUACUUAUAAAAAAUUAAAAAUAAAUUUAAUAGCCCACCCCAAAAUACGGUGCUAGCUUCCCCACUAAUUAGAGGCUAACAACAUUAAAAAUCUCAACAAUCUUGGCUUAUAGUAAUAAUCUAAUAUUUUUAUCUCUAACAAAUGGGUAAUCUCAGAUAAUAGCCAAUGAGAGAUAAAAUAAAAAUCGAGACUAGUAAGAAUGUAGAGGGCGAUACCAGAAACUUACUCUCCAGAUUUGGGAGUAAACGGAGUUAAGUUUACCUUCCGAUCGUCCAAUCAAAGAUCAAAACCCUUACCUCCAAAUUCGAGUAAUCGGCCACUGUAUUCUUUUUCUCUCACAUCUUUUGUACAUUUUUAAGGCUGCCACUUCACUUAUUUACUUUUUCUUUUAUUGCCACGUGAUUUUGAAAGCCAAAUUUAAUGGUAAUUUUCAAUUAGUCAUAACAUAUUUCCUUUAAUUAUUUAAACAUCCAAACUAAUGGAAACCUUGAGUUGGGCCACCCAAAUGAAAUUGAUCUAACAAAUCUUCCCCACCAGAUUAUGUGAGGGACACCGCCAAGCCCGUUCUCUGCUUACAUUCUUUCAAGUUUCAACUUUUCCUUGGGCAAUGACUUUGUCAUCAUAUCCGACCUAUUCUUCAUGAAUCUUCUCAGGUUGUAAUUAUUUCUUUUAAUGCACAUCUUGUUCCCAAUGAUAUCUUACAUCAAUAUACUAGGAUUUCGAAUGGUAUGUUGAAUUCAUUGCCAAGUGAAAGCACUUUGACUAUUACAGUACACAACAUAAUUGUCUUUUUUCACAUCUAGCUUUUGUAAGAAAUUCUUCACCACAAGAUUUCAAAGAAACCUUCAGUAAUUGCAUUAAAUAAAUAAAGGAAAGCAAACAAAUACUUCACUUUUGAUGAAACUUUCAAAUAUCAUUCUUUAUGACUUUAAGCUACAUUUACCAUGCAAAAUUGGACUGGACUUAUUAUUAUAAUAAGACUGGAUUAGAUUAAAUUGGAUUAAGCUAGUUUGUAAUAUAUUGUCUUAUAUUUGGUGUAGUACCAGAUUGUACUAUGUUAAAUUAUAUUUAAAUAAUAUUAAAUAGCAUUUAAGUUGAUAUUUGAAUAUGAAUAUCAAUUAUUCAUGAAAUUUUAUAAUAAUAAGUAAAUAAAUUUAAAGAGCAAUUAAUAAGAAAAUUAAGCAUAUUGUAAAUAAGUUAUUAGGUAGUCAUAAUAUAAUAAACAAAUAAAAAAGAAAUAAAAAUUUAAAUAUUUAAUUAAUUAUUAUCAAAUAUUUAAAAAUUUUAUAGAAAAUCAAUUAAUUAUGGUAUUUAAUUACAUUUUAUACAAUCAAUAAUGCAAUAAGUUAUUAAAUGGUGAAUUUAUAAAUUAUUAAAUACACCGGUAAUGAAAAUUUAUUCUCAAGAGUUUUUGGAAGUAAAACUUACCAAUUUAAUUAGAUCAUAGGUAGUAAAUAAAAAAAUCUUAAGUAAAUCAUAAAUAAAAAUUAAUUAAUUAUAUAAUAUUUAUAAAUAUUUUUUUCUUUAAUUUUAUACCAACUAAACACAUGUGUAAAUUAGGAUUACUAAUAUGAUGAUUUUAAAAUUAAAUUUAAAUUUAGUCUCCUUUAAUCAAAUUCAAGUAAAUUUAUCAAAUAUGAAAUAAAUAUUCAAUCUUAAAAUUGAUCCAAUUCGAUACUUAAUCCUAACAUCCAAAUAUAGCCUUGGUUCCCUUUAAGGCAACUUACAAAGAGCUGUAACCGAAAAAUUUAUAAAGCCAUUUUUUUUUUGGGGUUCAUAUAUAUGUAUAUAUAUAAUCUUCCCGCCAAUCAGUGGUGUUAAUUUUUUUUUAAAAAAAGCUUCCUCCAAUCAUAGUUGUUCAAGCUUCAAGUGUUCUCUACAUUCACUAAACUUUAUAAAAUUAUUUUCCUGCUUUUUCUACUUUACAGCUUUUCUCUUUUGAUACAAAAUAAAUCCUUAGCAAGCGUAGAUUUGGUUAGGCUAGAAACCUUUGUUAUAAUAGUUUUUUUAUAACCUAGAAGACUAUACUUCUUCCAUCAAAGAGUGAAAUUAAUAAACUUUAUCAUUUUCAUUAUGAAAAUGAUCAGUAAACUAUAACGCUAUCACUCGAAAGAAAUAAGUAGAUCAUUAAUAUGAGUUUAUCUAGUUAUUUUGUUUUUAAAAUCACUUAUCAUGUGGACUAUAUAAUCAAAAUUUGGGGAGAUAUGUCUACCCACAUUUAACUAUAUAAUUGAGAUAAGAAAUUAGAGGUCCAAGGAGCAGUAUUCAAAUCUGCAACCUCAAAGUUGAGGUUGUGGCAAGCAAAAGAAAAAGGAGAAGCAUGUGUUUUUGGGAAAAGAACCUGUACAAACAAUUGCAAAUUUAACAAAAACUAACUUUUUCCUUUUUUGUGUGAUAAAAUCGGAAUGUGUACCACAAAUAAAUAGACAGAAAAUAAACCAAUACAAUCUAAAAUAAUAAAUCAACCAUAAGAGACAUAGAUUUUUUAGGUGAAAAACCUAAAUCAAGAAAAAAAACCACAGAAACUUAGUCCAAUAUAACCUUCCGUUAUAUUAAUAAUGGGAUUACAAGACAAAUUCUUCUCCAGAUAGCAGUAGAGGUUAACAAUAUCAAGAAUCUCAAUAAUAUUGGCUUAUGGUAAUAAUCUAAUAUUUUUCUCUCUAACAAGGGUAAUCUCAGGUAAUAGCCAAUGAGAGAUAAAAUAAAAAUCAAGACUAGUACGAAUGUAGAGGACGAUACUAUAAACUUAUCCUCUAGAUUUAGGAGAAAACAGAGUUAAGUUUACCUUCCGAUCAUCCAAUCAAAAAUUGAAACCCUUACCUCCAAAUUGGAUUAAUCGGCCACUAUAUUCUUUUUCUCUCUCAUCUUUUCUACAUUUUUAAGGCUGCCGCUUCACUUAUUUACUUUUUCUUUUAUAUCCACGUGAUUUUGAAAGCCAAAUUUAAUAGUAAUUUUCAAUUAGUCAUAACCUUUUUUCUUCAAUUAUUUAAACAUCCAGACUAAUGGGAACUUUGAGUUGGGCCACCCUAAUGAAAUGGAUCUAACAAAUCUUCCCCACCAAAUUAUGUGGGGGACACAACCAAGCUUGUUCUCUCCUUACAUUCUUUCAACUUCUCCUUGGACAACGACUUUAUCAUCAUAUACGACCUAUUCUUCAUGAAUCUUCUCAGGCUACAACUAUUUCUUUUCAAGCACGUCUUGUAUCCAAUAAUACUCACAUCAAUAUGCUUGGAUUUCGAAUGGUAUGUUAAAUUCAUUUCCAAGUGAAAGCACUGUGAUUAUCACAAUACAUGCCAUAGCUAUCUUAUUUAACAUCUUGCUCUUGUAAGAAAUUCUUCACCAAGGUUUUAAAGAAACCUUCAGUGAUUGCAAUAUAUAUAUAUAUUUUUGGUGGAGAAACACUACUAGAAAAAUGGUCUUUAUUGAUACUUGUGUUCUGACACUUUAUUUAAAAGUAUCAGUAUAUACAUAUAUUUGGAUCAUUUUCCGCGUUUAACAGAUAUGUAUCACUAAUUACUAAUACUGAAGUAUCAAUAGCUUUAGUAAUAGCAAUCAAUGACGCUUAGGUAUCAGCAAUUAAAAAUUAUCAUUUUAAUUUUGUUUUAGUGUGAAUUCGAACCCAAUACCUCUUAAACCUAGAGCUUCUACAUUGAAUCAAAAGACCACUAGGCUACGAAUUAUUUUUAUUUGUUUUUUAGAAUUGUGCUUUUUGAGUGGAUAAAAACAAAACAAAUGGACAAGUCUUAUCUUAUCCAAAAUACAACUUUUCAACUCCCUCUACCAAAGUAUUCGUUCCCUCCUAAGCUCCCCAGAUCUGAAAAAUCCCUAACAUCCAAAUUGUCAAAAAGUGCUCAGGUCUUAUCUUUUUGUUUGGCCGGCAUGGUGCUGCAAAAUCAAAGGUCAGUAAGCACUAAUGGAAGAUAACGAGUGCAGAGAUGGCGGGAAGAAGGUAAGACUAGCCAUAAUGGAGCUGGCCAACAUGAUAAGUGUUCCCAUGUCUCUAACCGCUGCCAUCCGUCUCCACGUACCGGAUGCCAUCCGGCAAGGUGGAGCCAACACCCCUCUCUCCGCCUCCCAGAUCUUGACAUGUAUCCUCCCAUCCGGCGGUGGGGAUGCCGAGAACUUGCAACGUAUCCUCUGCUUGCUCACCAGCUACAGCGUGUUCUCGGAGCAUCGCGAAUUUGGAGGCGAAAGGAGAAUGAAUGUGAUGAGGAUGAUGAUUGGGAAUAUGUUGAAGAAGGGCCUAUAGAAAUUAUAUGGCAAGGAAAUGAGAUUAUUAUCAGGAAGAAAAAGGUCAGAGUUCCGAAGAAGGAUGCGAACCCACUAAGUAAAAAAGAGGUAAUUUUGACUCUAUUGACAGCUAUGUUAGGCUUGUUUCUACUUUACUUCAGGAUGCCCAUUCUCUUGGUUAUGGCAAAAAUUAAACUUUCUAUGUUAUUACUUCCUUUACAGGAUGUUGAUAGGCCUACAUCAAAUCCUCUGCCCCCACAAUCAGAGGCCUUUGCUGAUCACCAGAAUGCACAACAGGCGUUGGAGACUAUUGCUCAAUAAGUGCCCAAUUUUGGAACUGAACAGACAUGCCUUUUCUUUCAAUUUGUCUAUCUGAAAUUUUCAAUUUGCAAUUACUGUAUUAUAUUUCAUUUCUAUUAUAUUUGCCUGUUUAUCAUGGUAAAUCAUGUUUUUAUUAUAUAUGGCAAGAUAAAGCUCAUUGUCCUUUCCAUUUGAAGACUGGAGCUUGUGGGUUUGGUCAGAGAUGCAGCAGAGUUCAUUUUUACCCUGAUAAAUCGUGCACUCUGCUUAUCAAGAAUAUGUAUAAAGGUCAUGGCCUUGCUUGGGAGCAAGAUGAGGGGCUCGAGGUAUGUAAUUACUGAUUCUUGUAUCCUGAUAAGGACUCUUCCAAACUUCUAUACUUUUGUGCAAUUUGUUGGAUCAUUUUAUGUACUCAUUGUCCUUGCUAUAUAGAAGAUGCUUUUUAUACAGAAAAAUAUUUUUCCAGUUGAUAUACUAUAAUGUGUUUAUAACUAUUCUAGAUAGUAUCACUGGUGAGUUCUUUUGAGUUCACGUUUUAUUUCUUUUCUUUGACUAUGUGAAAUCAGAGAUUUAUGUUUUCAUAACGAUGGAGAUUCAUGGUGUUGGCCUUGAUUGGGUAAGAGUGAAGGCUAUGAGCUAUUCUGUAUCCUACAUGCUGCAAAUGAUUUUAGCUAUUAUGAAAUUUUGAUUUUCCUGAGGUUGUUGCCGAAGGUCCAAGUAUCCCUAGAGUGACCCAUAUUGGUGGGGGCAUGUUUAAGUCCAUUCAUGCCGUUGAUGCUAUCUUUAUGAAGUGGGUUUUAACUACAUGGACUGAUGAUGAAUGCAAGUUGAUAAUGGAGAACUGUUACAAGGCUCUUCCGGCAGGAGGAGAACUGAUUGCUUGCGAGCCUGUGCUGCCUGAUGAUUCAAACGAAAGUCAGAGAACUCGUGCUCUCUUAGAAGGGGACAUUUUUGUUAUGACCAUCUACAGGGCCAAAGGUAAACACAGGAUUGAACAAGAGUUUAAGCAACUUGGUUUCUCUGCUAGUUUUCCACACUUGAGAGCAUUUUAUUUCGAUUAUUUUCACACUCUUCUUGAGUUCCAAAAGUAAUUUUAGUUUCUGGAUCCUUGAAAGACUUGGGGAAUAUUUGUGAUGGAGCUUCUGUGGUUGCCUAGGAUGGAAUAACUUGCUCUGAAUUAUAAAUGUUGAGUAGGCGGUUAGCACUAGCUGCCUACCAAAAAUAUAUAUAUAUAUUGUCAAAAAGUGCUCAGCCAUGAUCCUGUCAAACCAGUGGCACAGGUUCACCAUUUGCCUUCAAAAUCCUAACUUCUUGUUUCUUUUCUUAUUUUAUGAUUUCGGGUCUCUCUUAUUGUCAUUAGAUCUUGAUUUUUUUUUGUUUUAAUUGUUCUUUUAGGUUUAAAUAAGUGACUUAGAGAAGAGCUUCUAUGUUUCUUUGGCUACUUGGAAGAAACAAGAAGGUAAAGAUUUAGCUUUUCUUGUGUUUUUUUCUCUACUACGAUCAAGUAGAUGGUUAAUUUAUAAAAGAAAUGCUAUGUGUGAUUAUUUGAAAAUUGCAUAAACGCUAUCAGUUUGUCAUUUCUAUUAACUUUCUUUCUCUGCAGCAAAAUAAUUAAACAUUGGAAGUAUGCAUAUAAAUAAGGAGGUAGCAAGGUUAUUGGAUUUCUUUAAGGGAAUGAAUGAAGUCAGUCCCUACACUAACUACUUGGUCGAUGCCUUAGUAAUUAAUUGCUCAACAUUAUGAUGUAGUUACUGGGAAUCUAGUGACUAAUUUUCAACAAGUAAUUGUAUUUUUACCUAGUUAUCGUUCUUACUCUAUUUAGAGUCAUUAACUUAUUAUAGAUAACCUUACCAAAAGAGAAUAAUCAUUGACUCCCUUUUUUCUUAUUUAUAUAUGUAGUUGAAUAAACUGUAUUUCUUUGGUAUUUUUAAGGAAAUAAGCUACAACUUCCUUGUUCACUAAUUUUUCUUUGAAAUAAUUGAGUUUACUUAUAAAUAGUGUAUGGAUAUUUUUUCUUUAGAACAAAAUAGAUUUAUUUAUAUUAACCAUUGUUUCUCUAAUGGUUGGGAAUUGGCAGCUAAUUUUUUCUCCCUUUUCGAUGUAUGCAGAUUUGCUCAAUGUGUUUGAAGUGUUUAUUCCUCAACUUCACUUGUAUCAUAAGCCAUUCAACCUAUUGAAUGGAGAAGCUGCUGGUGUGAUAACGCAAUUAUACUACUCAUAUUCAAAGAGUGAAAGAUAGUCAUCAUUCUCAAUUUAAAUUCUAGAUUUAUUAAAUUUAGCCACAAGUAGUAGGCAUUUGAUUGGAUGGUAGAAAUUUUAAUGUAUUGAAUUUGGAUUAUUUAGUUAGGAGAGUAGGAUAUCUCAUAUUUUGGCUAUUGAAGUUCAAUUUGUAAUAUAUACUAAUAAUAUUUAAAUGUGAAAUGAAAGAUUUUGUGAUAUAAAUCAAUUUCUUUUUGUUAUUUUGUGGUGCUUUUAAUUUUACAAAUAAAUCAAUAGGCAAUGAUCCAAUUUAAUUUUUUAUUUUUUAAAAAUAAAUUAACUAGUGAUACCAUGGUAACAGUAAUCAUAGACACUAAUAAAAUAUCAAUAACUACUAACACUAUAGUGUCAUAAUAUUGGUGAUACUGUAGUAAUAGUAAUCACUGACACCAGUUACAAGUGUCACUAUUUUUCUGACUCCCAGAUUACUGACACAAUUAACAAGUGUCAGUGAAAGUAAUUUCUGACAUUAUUCUAAAGUCAGUAAAGACUAUUUUUCUAGUAGUGAAAACAAUACGAAAUUUGAAAUCCUCUGAGUAUACUCCCCUGUAAAGGUAAGCAAAUGUCUUGAUGAGAAUUUUCUAGAAUUAACAUCUCUUGCCCUAUCUGCAAUACACUUGUAGCACAAGUUGACACCAUUAAAAUCUAAACAUGCCUUGGAAAUGACUUUGAGGUAUAUGGGGAUCCACUUUAUUACUAUCUAGUGUCUUUGCCCAACUUAUAGAGAGACUAGCUGAGUACACCCAUUGCAUGAGCAAUAUUUGGUACAAGCCAUAGCGUACAUUAGCCUGCCAAGUGCUGAAGCAUAAAAAACUCCUUUCAUCUCUUACCUCUCUUUCUCACUUGUAGGACAAUGCUCGGAACUAAGCUUAAAAUGACCCGUAAGUUGAGAACAAAUAUAUUUUUCCUUGUUUAUUUUAAAUUUUUCAAGAACACUUUCAAUAUAUGCUUCUUGAGAUAACCAUAACUUGCUAAUUUUUAUGUCGUGGGAAAUCAUCAUGCCAAGAAUUUAUUUGCCGGUCCUUGGUAUUUUAUUGUAAAUAACUUGUUAAAUUUUUUCUUUAGAUUAUCAAUCUUACUAGCAUUGUGGUCAACAAUCAACAUAUCAUCUAUAUAAAGCAAAAAAAUGAUAAAAUUAUUAUCACCAAUCUUCUUUACAAAAAGACAAUAGUCAGACAUAAUCUUGCUAAAACUGUGAUUCUUUAUAAAAGAAUCAAACAUUUUGUACCAUAGUCUUGGUGCUAUUUCAAUCCAUACAAACUUUUCUUCAACUUGUGUACAAUUUCUUUGUUGCCUUUGACAUUGAAUCCUUCAGGUUGCUCCAUUUAUAUUUCCUCCUUUAAGUCGCGAAGAAAGAAACUCGAUUACCUCAUUCUCAUAUCCUAGAGACUUUCUAUCCAUCAACAUCCAAGCUUUAUCCAUAUUUAGACUAUUAAAUUUCCUGCAAAUGCAUCACAUUUCAUUCAUUCAUUUUAUUAAUAUUGGAGUUUGAUAUUGUUUCCAACCAUAAGAACAAUAUUAAAAUUACAAAAUCAACAAAAAAACAGUUAAAAUAUAAUAAAAAAAUAACACUUAACAGCAAGAGAAAACCUAUAUCUUCAUCAUGACUAAUUAUAGUAGUAAUAUUACAAGCCAUAUACCAUAAAUCAUGAAAAGAGCAAAUAAUAUAAUUUUCAAAAAAUAGAGAAAUAGAAAAAAACAAAAAACAAAAGUACCUUUUGUUAUUGCUUCAAGAUCACGAACUAGUAACAACUUAGAGACUAAGUCGCGACUNNNNNNNNNNNNNNNNNNNNNNNNNNNNNNNNNNNNNNNNNNNNNNNNNNNNNNNNNNNNNNNNNNNNNNNNNNNNNNNNNNNNNNNNNNNNNNNNNNNNGACAAUAAACUAGCUAGCUAUUGUAAUGAUUUAAACAAUCCAUAAAUAAAGUAUUAAAUUAAUAUGCAAAUGUCACAUGUAGUAAAACAACAUAUACAGUAUUAUGAAAUUUCAACAGCGAAAUUAGGUGUUGAAACCGUUAAAUAAAAUCCUUUUUCCAUUAGAGAUCUAAAUUUAGCUUACUUUAGUCAAACUCAGUCACUCUGUAGAGUGACUGUUGGACAUAAUUUAUAUACAUAUUGUACCAUUAAUUAUAUAAUUACUAGUUUUUUUAUUUUUAAUUAAUUAAAUUAUUUUGUUGAAUAAGAAAUUAAUUGAAGAUUAAGGAUAAAAAGUGCAUGUGAAAGUUCAAAUUGUGAAGGAAUAAAAAUUAAAUUGAAAGACAAAAAUGCAGCCAAGAAUUAACGGAAGUCAAGAAGACCAAAAUUGGAAUUCAAUCUCUUCAAAUAAUGAACGGUGGGCAUGCAGUUGGAAAGCAAAGAUUUGGCAAUUUGGAAUGCAUGUGCAGGGUAUUAAAAAAAAGAAAUUAUUAAUUGGCCUUUUGCUUUUAAGUUAAACGUGUGGCUAACUUUCAAACCUUAAUAAGGAAACAAUUUAAAAAGGGUUUGGUGAGCGGGCUUUGUUAAGUCGGUGGGUGGCUAAGCAUUAUAAAAAGCCGAAUUUGGCUUUUGAAAGAGCAGCCACCAGAGGAGAAGCCGCAAGAAAGAGAGAAGAAAAAGAGCAGCAGCAGAUCAAAUUUCCCAUCGCUGGUUUUAUUUUAUUCGUUACUCCCAAUUCAAGUAUGUCUAACUAAUUUUUUUAUACUGAGAUUAAGGAUGAAGCCCUAUUCAAUGAAAUAAUUAUCUUUUAAUCAAUUUCCUAUAUAUGUUCUUUGAUGAUUAUAGUUUUUGUUUCACAUGAUUAGUUGAAUGUUAUUAAAUUCUUUUCACUAAUUCUGUCAUGCGUUAUUGAUUGUUAAGAUUAAUAUUUGACUAAAUCUAUUAUUAGAUCUAUGAAGUCUAUACAUUAUCAUCUUUGAUUUAGUGUCUUUCGUUAAAUUAUUUACAUAGAGUGCUUAGGAAACUUUGACUAUUUUUUAUUCAAUAUGUUUACAUAGGAUGCUUAGAUAUCAUACUAUUAAGUAGAAAAAGAACCUACAUUAGAUUUAAUUACUUUGGCUUAAUUGUUAUAUCUAUGAGAUGACAUAGAUUGAUUUUGAGUUGUCACUCUAAAAUUGGGGAUUAAUUAAUAAUUAGAUAAUUACUAGUUGAAUAGUGAUGGAUUCUGAAACCUUGAUAAUUUUUGUCUUAUUGAAUUCUCAUUUACUUUAAUUGUUUUCUAAGUUUAAUUAGUUUUAUUUUUCUUAAAAACUCAAUUUGCUCAACUAGGUUAGAAUUAAUAUUAAUUUUAGAUUUAAAUUAGACUUUUCAAUUUAUAACAAUCCCUGUGGGUUCGACCUCGUUACCACUAUUCAAUUUUUAGAUUCGUGUGCUUGCGAGUAUAUUACAAUUUUUCACAACAUGUUUUUGGCACUGUUGCCGGGGAUUGUGCCAGAAAGUCAGUUUAAUCUAGGUUGAUUUGACUCUUCCACUAGUUAUAAUUUAGGUUGUCUUUUAUUUUUUUAUAAAAAAAACACAAUUUUUUUUAUUAUUUGUCUUUAAAUUCAUUGUUUGGUUGUUUUAUUUCUUUUAUUUUAAAUUUCGUUUAUUUUUAUUAUUGUUGUUUUAUUUUUCUUUGUCUAGUUAGUUUAUGAGUGUUUGGGAACGCGAUUCAAUAAAUCGUUUGGUCAAAAAAGAGUCUAAGGUUGAGAGUAAUCAAGCUAGUUCUUCUCAAGUGAUAGAUAACCUAAAUAGAAUAUUGCCAAUACUACCACCAGUGUAAGCAGAGAAAACCCUUAGAGAAUAUUUUUCGCAACUUGCAGCCAACCAACCAUCUUGUAUUGUGUCGCCACAAACUACAACAACACACUUUGAUUUUAAGCCCUCUGUCAUUCAACUUUUACCAUCUUUCUAUGGGUUAGAGAGAGAAGAUCCAUAUUUGUACAUUAAGGAAUUUCUUGACAUAUGCUCUACAUUUCGUUUUCAAAAUUUUAAUGAUGAGUCAAUUAGGCUUCGUAUGUUCCCUUUCUCAUUAAAAGACAAAGCGAAAGCUUGGUUGAAUUCACUUCCUGCUGGGUCUAUUACUACAUAGGAUGAAUUGAGUAACAAGUUCCUCACCAAGUUUUUCCCUAUGUCUAAAACAAAUGCCCUUAGGAGAGAGAUAAGUGAUUUUUAUUAAAGAGAGGGUGAACAAUUGUACGAGUGUUGGGAAAGAUUCAAUGAUUUACUCCUCAAGUGUCCCCACUAUGGUUUUGAGAAAUGGAGACUUAUACAGUUCUUUUAUAAUUGUUUAACCAUGUCAAAUCAUCAUAUGGUAGAGUUUAUGAAUAGUGUAAGAUUUUUGAACCUACAUGAAAGGGCUGCAUGGAAUUUCUUUAAUUCACUUUUUGAGAAUUCUCAACAGUGGGAUUUUUCAAAUCAAAGAGAAAAAUCAUCUCAAGUUUUUAGAAAGGGUCUAUAUGAAGUUGAAGAUGAUUUUGAUGUGAAAGCCACUCUAGCUACUCUUUCUAGGAAAGUAAAUGCCUUAGCUAUGAACCAAUCCAUGAAUUAUCAUCCUAGUGUAGCAAAUGAGGUUUGUGCUCUUUUUUCUAACUUGUCUCAUACAACGCAUAAUUUUCCAUAAUUAUCGGCCUAUCAAGAGGCCUAUUCCGAGCAGGUACAUGUCCUGCAAUCAUAUGAGAAAACCUCCAAUAGUCCAUAUUCACCAUAAUUCUAAUUGGAGGAAUCACCUUAAUUUUUCUUGGAAACAAAAUCAACCUUUGUCAAACCAAGGAGGACAACAAUUUAGCAUGCCCAAUCAACAAUUUGUCCCUCCUAACCAAGUAUAUCCCCAUGCCAAACAACCUAUGUCUCAAUUUGCUGCACCCCAACAAAGAAAACCUUCUUUAUAGGGUAUACUUCAAACAUUCAUUCAGUCAACCCAACAAGCCUUUUAGUCAAACACGCAAGCUAUUCUAAAUCUUGAACAUCAAUUGGGUCAAUUAGCAACUAUUGUGGCUGAGAGAGAAAAAAGAAAAUUCCCAAGUCAAUUAGUUCCUAAUCCUAAAGGAGUGCAUGAAGUUGGAUCGAAUUCAAGCCAUCAGCAUGAAGAAGCAAAAUCUAUUAUGACCUUGAGAAGAGGAAAAUUAUUUGACAAUAAGGUGGAGGUUCGAACAAGAAAGACAUCCGAACCUGCUUCUUUAGAUUCAUUUCCAUCACAAGACUCAUCACCAAAUGAUCAAGAAUAAACUGGCCCACCAGCUUACAUUCCUAAGGCUCAUUUUCCUUAAAGGUUAGCAAAGGUAAAGAAAGGGACUUCAACAUGUGAGAUUAUGGAAAUCUUCAAGCAGGUAAGUAUAAACAUCCCUUUACUUGAUGGUAUUAAGCACGUUCCUUCCUAUGACAAGUUUUUUAUGGAUUUAUGCACUAACAUGUUACCAAAAAUGCAUUUUUCACUAAACAAACUAGCAAUUUACUUCAAUAUAAAAUGCCACCAAAAUUUAAGGAUCCAGGUUCUCCUAUUAUCUCAUGUGUUAUAGGGAGCCAAUUGUUUGAUAAAAUAUUAUUGGAUUUAGGCACUAGUGUUAAUUUCUUGCCUCAUUUUGUUUACAUGCAGCUUGGACUAGGUAAAUUAAAGCCAACUUCCAUUAUUUUACAGCUUACUGAUAGGUCAAUAAAAAUACCUCGUGGUAUUAUAGAGGAUGUGUUGAUACAUAUUGACAAACUUUAUUAUCCUAUUGAUUUUAUUGUUAUUAAUACUCUGCAUGUACAGGAUCCUAAGAAACACACCUUAGUUAUUCUAGGUCGUCAUUUCUUAGCUAUAGUUAAUGCUCAUAUUAGUUGCAGGACCGAAAACAUGCAAUUGUCUUUUGGUAACAUAACCAUGGAAUUAAAUAUUUUUAAUGUUACCAAGCAGGCACAAGACGAUGAUGAAGUCGUUGAAGUAGAUAUGAUAGAAGCAUCAAUUGAUGACUAAUUUAUUUUUAACCACUGUGACAAUCCAUUAACACCAUGCACAACUGACUCUAAUUUAUCUUUUGAUGUUGACAAUGGUACUGAAGAAGUUAAUGCUUUACUUGACUCAACUCUUAUCAUAAAUCUAAUUAAGUGGAAAGAAAAGAUUGAGCCACUUUCUCCUGAAGAGAAAAUUAAACCAUUCAGGUUGGAGCUACUUCUUAAAGAAGUGCAACAUAGUCACAUUCUGACACGAAAAAGGUGGUAAGAUCUAAAGUGCUUUAAUUAUUAGAUUUUUAUACUGCUUCAGAUAACUCUCAGGUAAGCUUGGAAUAGAAGAAAUCAAAGCAGUGCGAUACUGAGGAGUUUCAUUACCAUCAUCCUUUUAUAGAUAAAAUGCUCCAGUGCUUAGUCAAUUAUGUUUUCUGGUAUUUUCUGUAUAAUUACUUUGAUUUUCACCAAAUUCUUAUUGAUCUUGGUUGAUUUGUUGUUUACAUUAAUUAAUUAGUUUAGUAGGAUUUUAUUUAUUUUUCUUUUUUUAUUAUUUAUAUUUCUUCUAAUGUUUUCUUUUUAGUUGUCAUUUUCUUUUAAGCUUCUUGAGCCCAUUCAAGUGUGUUCUCUCCAACAUUUUCUUCUAUUAUUUAUGUUUUUUUAAUCUUUUUGCAUGCAGGUCUUUUAUUUAUGAAACAUUGAGGACAAUGUUCUGAAUAAGUUUGGGGGUGAGAAUAGUGUGUGUUUUGUUUGUUAUUAAAAAAAUCAAAAAAAAUUUAAAAAUUUAAAAAUUUAAAAUUUUUUUUUUCUUUUUGUUCUUAUGUGGAAAGCCAAUGAUAAGAAUUUGAUUGACAACGAAUAUGAUUCUUAGAAAGAGUUGAAUAUUGUCUUAGUUUAUACUUGGUUCUUGUGUUAAUUCCUCUUGAUUGAGAUUCUGUAAACACCAUGAGCACUAACAUCAGUUCUUUCAUAAUUUUGACUUGAAAUUUGAUAUUGACGCAGCCUAAGUUGAUAAUUUUAGAGAGAGUAAAUGAUUGUUUGUCUCGAUUCUUAUCUCCAUAGUACAAAAUAGUAUACACAGACACCAAAGUCAGAAAUAGCUACCUAUAACCCUUAAGAGUGAAGCUAUCAUUGAGUAAUUUGGGCCUAUAUACCACUAGUAUGUAGAGGAUAAUCUACCAUAAGAAGAAGGCUAACUUAAGGGGUAGAGUGAAAGCUCCUGACUAUGGUUAAAAAAAAAGAAAAAAAAUCAAGUGCAUGUACUAAAAAAAAAAUCAAAAGAAAAUGCACAUAAAAGCCUGUGGAAAAAAAAAUUGGAGAUCAAGAUGAUAAGAUUAGUUUGACCUACUCUUUUCUUUAUUCGAGAUGAAGGCUGUUGAUAUUGAAGAUUUUGAGAAUGUAUUUGAUUGAAUUGAUUUCACACACACACUACAAGAAUAAAAAAAGAGAUGUGAUUGACUAUUGAAUUAAAGUUAGAACUUUGCCAAUAUUUGAAAUUUUCUUUGAGCUAUAUAACUUAUUCAAUCUUUGAGGCUAGUUUUAUGUUUUAUUUAAAGUCCGUUGUUCUUUUUGUGUUAUUGUUUUUUCAAACAAAAGAAAAUGAUGUUUGUGGGUAUCAUUGUUGAAGUCCUCACGAGACUAUAACUCGUCCACUAGGGUCACCUAGGGGUUUAAGGGCUUGUUGCAUACGCUAAAUGCAAUCGCGAUUACAUGCGAAAGUGAUUUAGUUAGGAUUUAUUUUUCGUUACUUUUAUUUUUUUUAUUUUUAGUUUUAGUUUUGCUCGAGGACUAGCAAAAUCUAAGUUUGGGGGUAUUUGAUGGGCAUAUUCUAUAUACAUAUUUUACCCUUAAUUAUAUAAUUGUUAGUUAUUUUUAUUUGUUAUUUUUAAUUAAUUAAAUUAUUUUGUUGAAUAGGAAAUUAAUUGAAGAUCAAGGAUAAAAAGGUCAUGAAGAAGUUCAAAUUGGGAAGGAAUAAAGAUUAAAUUGGAAGAUAAAAAUACAGCUAAGAAUUAAUGAAAGUCAAGAAGACCAAAAUUAGAAUUCAAUCUCUUCAAAUAAUGAACGGUGGGUGUGCAGUUAGACAGCAAAGAUUUGGCAAUUUGGAAUGCAUGUGCAGGGCAUUAAAAGAAGAAAUUAUUAAUUAGCCUUUUGCUUUUAAGUUAAACGUGUGGCUAGCUUUCAAACCUUAAUAAGGAAACAAUUUAAAAAGGGCUUGGUCAGUGGGCUUUGUUAGGUCGGUGGGUGGCUAAGCAUUAUAAAAAGCCGACUUUGGCUUUUGAAAGAGCAGCCACCAGAGGAGAAGCCGUAAGACAGGAAGAAGAAAAGGAGUAGCAGCAAAUCAAUUUUCCCAUAACUGGUUUUAUUUUAUUUGUUACUCCCAGUUUAAGUAUGUCUAGCUAAUUUUCUUAUACUAAGGUUAAAGAUGAAGCCCUAUUCAAUGAAAUAAUUAUCUUUUAAUUAAUUCCAUAUCUAUGUUCUUUGAUGAUUAUGGUUUUUUUUUCACAUGAUUAGUUGGAUGUUAGUAAAUUCUUUUCACCAAUUCUGUCAUGCAUUAUUGAUUAAUAUUUGACUAAAUCUAUGCUUGGAUCAAUGAAGUCUAUACAUGAUUAUCUUUGAUUCUGUGUCUUUCACUAAAAUUUUUACACAGAGUGCUUAGAAAACUUUGACUCUUUGUUAUUCAAUAUGUUUACAUGGGAUGCUUAGAUAUCAUACUACUAAACAGAAAAGAACCUACAUUAGAUUUAAUUACUUGAGCUUAAUUGUUAUAUUUAUGAGAUGACAUAGAUUGAUUUCAAGUUGUCACUCUAAAAUUGGGGAUUAAUUAAUAAUUAGAUAAUCACUAGUUGAAUCAUGGUGGAUUUUGAAAUCUUGGUAAUUUUUGUCUUAUUAAAUUCUUAUUUGCUUUAAUUGUUUCCUUAGUUUAAUUAGUUUUAUUUUUCUUGCAAACUCAAUUUGCUCAACUAGGUUAUAAUUAAUAUUAAUUUUAUAUUAAAAUUAAACUUUUCAAUUUAUAACAAUUCUUGUUGGUUCGACCUCGUUAUCAUUAUUCUAUUUCUAGAUUCAUGUGCUUGUGAGUAUAUUAAAAUUUUUCACAAUAACGAAAAAGUAGCAGUUGAAAAAAAAAUGAGAGUGACAUUGCAUAGACUUGAUAGUGAAAUAUCAUUUUCUUAAUGCUAAUUUAUUCCGUUUAUAUUUGAUUGACUGAUACAAGCGGAAGGUUGUUAAAAAAUUGCUUGAAAUGCUUUAUAGGUGCAAAGAGCAAUUGCAGCACAUUUGCAAUGUAAAUAAGUAAGCACUUGACCAGUAUGUAAAGUUCACAGAGCAGAGAGAAGAACUCUAGAGAAGGCAUUAGUAGAAUAGUAGCCAUUAUAAAAAUUUCCACAAACAAAUUAAUUUACAUAGAAGUAGUGGCUAAAGAGUUAAGCAUACAUUAAUUUGUUUGUGGAACAUACAGCGAAAUUUCUAUAUUGGCUACUAUUUUACUAAUGGUUUCUUUCCACAAUUCCCAAUAUUAUGUUCUAUUGAAAACUAAGCAUACAUUAAAUUGCUUGUGGAAAUUUACAUAAGUCAAUAUAACAAUAGUUGAACAGGAUGCAAUUUGGGCGGAGAAGAAUGGUUUCUGUUCAUAAUUCCCAUUGUUAUGUUCUAUUGAAAAUUAAGCAUACAUUAAUUUGUUUGUUGAAAUUUACAUAAGUCAAUACAAUAGCAACUUAACUGGAUGUAGUUUGGGUGGAGAAGUAGUGGGCGUUGGUUUUGGUGGAGAUGUUGGCAUUAAAGAGGUACUGGAUAACUACAACUUUAAAUCAAAAGAGAGAGUUUAUGCUAAGAUUUGCCAUACAUAACUUCAACCGUAAAUCAAACUAAUGCUUACAAAUGGCAUGCGUCUAUAUCCACCACGUUGCAUACUACAUAACUCUUAUAAAUCUUUCUAAUGGAGAAAGGAACACGACAAACCUCUGUUACUAUAUUUUGUGAGGUACUGAAUAUUUUUCUAUUGAAAGUCCUAUCAGAUCGACUAGUGCCAUUAAAACUAUAAUCUUGCUGAGGUCAAUUAUCAAGUUCCAUACCUUAUCGUUGAUGGUGCCGCGUGCACUGAUUAUCCUUUUCAAAUCUUGGUGCUAAUAAAAUCUUCUACACAAUGCAAUUCAACAUCUAUCCUUCAUCUACCACCAACUCUAAAGCUUCUUCAUCAUCCAAAUCCUUGACAUUAUUCACCUCUGUCUCGCUGACUUCAGCUUCUAUUAAAUUUAAAUUUUCAGGAAGAUAGUCACUCGAUCGAUGGCUUGGCUCUCCACACUUCAGACACUUAUUCAGCAUAGGCUUUGCCUAUGGGUUAUUCUGUUGCUGCCUAGUUGGUUGUUGCUGUGUUGUGGCUACUACUGUCUAGUUGGCUGCUGCCUCAGCUGUUGCUUUGGCAAUUGUUGCAUUUGACUACUUCCAACCUGUGGUUUCUACUUUUUCUCUACCCCAAUACCACUUGGUCUACUCCGCAGGCCAGUGAGUUGUUGCUGCUUAGUACUAGAAACAACUUGUUGCUUCUAUUUUUCCAACCUUUUAGCCCUAGUGACUGGGGAACCCAAGUCCCAAAUUAUAUAUACUAUUCCAUCUUGUAUCUUUUAUUUCAAUUUGCCAAUAUAAUUCGUAAUUGCUAGAAAUUCUGGCUCUUCCUUAUUAUUUCUCAUAUGCAGACAAUAAAAUUCUUUAGUAUACUCAUCCAUGCUGCAAUUUUCUUACCUAUAAUCCUAAUAUUUGAUAUACAGCUGCUACCAGUAAUCUGCUGGUAGAAAAUGCUCUUUCACCAUCUUCUAUAUUCUAGGCCACAAUUUUAUAAAUUAUUUUCCCACAACCCUUCUUUGGUUUUAUAUGUGUUGUUACUAUAUAGAAGCUACGCCCUUCAACUUAAAUGCCAUAAGCUUAAUCCACUUCUCUUGAGGAAUCUCUACAUACUCGAAGAAUUAUCACCAUUGAAAUCCCGUAUACAAUUUCUUUGACAUGCAUACCACCAUAAAAAUCUGGAAUAUUAACAUUAAUCUUGUAAUCUAGACUUUUUCCACACCUCCUAUCAUCGUCCAUAGAUUCUUUUUCUUUUGAAUCGCUUCCUAACUCCUCAUACAUGUGCACUCGCAUUCUUCAUGUGAGUCUAAAUUAUGAGGCACUAUUUUGUAAAUUAAUGCCUUGAGGUUUUAUUUCGUGAUUGACCUCCUGAAGCAUCUUCACGUGGUUGUAAUCGUUGGCUGUGCACCAUGUUUCACUCCUUAAUGUUCUUCCUCACGAUUAACUCCUUGCUGUUGACCUCUUCUAUUUUCAUUCAAUGAAAGCUUAAGACUCUCAUUUGCUAACUCUAUCACCUUCAAUCUCGAGUCAUAAGCAUCCUCAAUCACUUGCAAGCCUGCUUCACUGGCAGCCUGUCUGACAGCCUCUACAGUCUGUGCUUGCAUAAUUUGAUCAUCGUCUUCGGGACAGUUGCCCCUUUAUUCGCAUGGUCGUACCAUGGUGACAAGCGAAUUUGCUCUGAUAACAAUUGAUGUAGCGGUGUAGUGGAAGUAUAAUUUAUAGGAUAGAUAAUAAAUAUCAUUCUAGUAUUGGACUAAGCCAACGCGAUUAACUUACACUCUAAUCAAAGUGUGAUUAGAUCUCAUUCUAAACAAAAUGACUCAACGAGAUUUUAAUAAUGCAUGAAGUGAGAUUAGAUGAUAUUCUAAUCUAAAUGACUGUAUAAGAUAGAUUUUUAUCGAUAACCUAGAGGGAAUUAUAAAAGGGGGAUUUUAUUGAUUAAUAGAAUUGAAGUUACAAUAAUAAAACCUCUCUAUUUAUAAUAAAGGAAACCUACUUCCCUAAGUUAACUUAAAAAGGGAAACUAAAUUGAUGUUGCAAUAGAAAUAAAAGAUUAAGAUACAUACUGUAAUUAACUCUAAUGAAAAUAAAAAAUUUAAAAAUAAUAAAAAUUUCUAGAAUCCUAAAGUAACAUCUUGCAUCAAAGAUUAGUAUCAAACUGUCUUCAAUUAAAAUGGUUGCUGGUUUUUUUCUUUUUUCUUAAGCCGUGGUGUGAUCUGCGGUCUCAGUCAGAUGUUUGCUGAAAAUAAAAAUCAUCUUUUAAGGAGAUAUUUCAUAAAACAAGUGACAUACAUUCAAGUAGCAGAACAAUCUAAAAUCAUUUCAAUAAGAUAUAAUCAAUCCCUAUUACUAUUACAAACUCUAAGUAAUUUCAAUUGAAAAUACUACACAUCCAAUCAUUACCUGAAAUCAACAUCACUCUUGGUGGAAUCAGUGAAGAAGUGUCGUUUUGACGGAACCGACGAAAUUAGAAAAUAAGUUUUAAAUGCAUCAUUAAUAUAUCUAGCAUUAUUGAUAAAAAUAAAAACAUAAAGUAGGCCAAUAUCAUUGUAUUAAAUAAAAGGAUCAUAUAGUUAAUUUAACCUCUUACAGUUGAAGUAAAAUAACCCUAGACACAUUUAAUUCGGAAGAUGAGGUGGGGUGCAUGAUAACUUAAAAAGUAAACUAAUGCCAUGCAUGUUACUAUUAAAAGAAAUAUCUUCAAAAUCAUUUUAGGUACAUUUUCGGUUAGCCUUAAAAAAGGAUGCACAAAAUCUAUAUAUUCUAUUUUAAUCAAGUGUAAAAAAAUGCUAUAACUUCAAUUCCUAUUUUGAUGAAACAACUCGAAUUGUUAUGUAGUCCAAUUGCGACAUGCAUAUUUGAUAUGAGCUUGAAUGUCGCUUGAAAUAAAAUGCUUGGUGUAGGCGAAGAACAAAAUAAAACCAUGUAUAAUUAAAUGGAAAACCCCUUUUCAUCCUUGAUUUUGAUGCAAUAAUUCAUUUCAUCCUUAUUUUUUGAACAAUAGCUCAAAUCAUUUAACUAAAUUUAUUGUAUAAUUCAUUGAGGACAAAAUAAAACUUUCAGAUAUAUAUAUAUAUAUAUAUAUACACAUACAUAUAUAUAAGCCGAAAGGAAUUUACAUUUAGUACAAAUAGAUGUAGGCAAUUAGAACCCCAUAACUAAUUAAUUAACGACUUAAAUUCUUUAAAUUCCUUAAUAGAGUGAAGCAUAAGAAAAUCUCCAAUAUAAUUAACCUAAUUAUAUUAAAAACACUAAAUUAAUUUUCUAAAAACACGAUUUGUAGUUACUAUUUUGAGUACUAUUCACUGUUACUGUUUAUAAAACGUUGUACCAUAUUGUCACCUCAAGAGUAUUUUAAAGUAUAUCCCAAAACAAUUUUUGAUGUCUUGCACGUAGAAAUUAGUUGAUGUUGAAACAUAUCAACUCCAUUAACAAUAGCAUUAAGUCCUUUUUCGUUUAUCCUAAUGCAUUGAGUUUGUCAUUAGACCAUUCAAUGACUAGGUUUGAAGAUUCCACACCAUUUUAUCAGUUUUGGUGGGUGGAGUGUAUCCAGUAAGUACACAUUACCAAACUCUUUCAUCAAUAGCUAUCAGACAAAUUUCUAUCUUUUAUUGUUUUUUUUCUAUUUUUUGGGUGAAGAAUUUACUACCAAUGGCUACAAUUAAGAGAAUGAAUUAUUUCUUUCUUUUAAAUAGAAGAAACUCAAUUGCUGAAAUGAGAUUUAAUAAUAAAAAUUAGAGAAUUGAAUUUACACAAUAAAUUUUACGUAAGGGUAUUUUUAUUAUUGAUGGAGCUGUUAAAAGAAUUUUAUAAUUUUUUAAAAUAUUUUAAUGGAAUUAAUUACGAAAAGGGGUGUUAAGAGAUAUUUAUUGACCAUUUUAAUAAUUAUUAUCUUUUCAAGGAUUUAAAAAUCUAUAGGUGUAACGGACAGCUAAUGUAAUGUAAGCGUUAUCUAAUAUAUGAGUUGAUGAACCAUCACGGGUGAAAUCAAAAUAAAAAAAAUAACAGAAGUCAAUAAUGGCAUUCAAAAUAAAAAAAAUUAAAACAAAAAGCAAAUAAAGCCAUUGGAUUCUUUUUUUUUUAAUUGUUUCUGAAUAUUAAUACGUUAAAAUAAAAGAACUUGUUAAUAUUUAUCAUAAAAAUAUUAUUGAUACAAUCCUACGUCAAUUUUGUUAUAUUAUAGUACAAUUCGAAAGUUUUAUUUUAUUUUAAAAUAUAUUUAUCCUACCAUAUUUAUAAAAGAAAUUAUAAAAUAAUUAAAUUAAGAUAAAAUCUUUCCUCCAAUCAUAGUUGUUCAAGAUUCAAGCGUUCUCUAUAGUGACUAAAUUUUAUAAAAAAUGUAUCUUCUUCCUUAUUCUACUUUAUAACCUUUCUCUUGUGAUCGAAAAUAAGGUCUUAGGAAGUAUAGAUUUGGAUAGAUUAGAGAUCCUUUUUAUAAUAGACCAGAGAACCUUUUUAUAAUAAUAUUUUAUAACUUACAAGACUUUCCACUUCCUUCCAUCAAAGAAGUGAAAUUUAUAACCUUUAUCACUUCUAUUAUGAAAAUGAUUAGUAAACUAUAAGGCUAUCCCUCGAAAUAAGUAAGUAGAUUAUUAAUAUGAGUUUAUCUAUUUAUUUAUUUUUAAAAAUCACUUAUCAUGAGAACUAUAUAAUAAAAAUUUGUGGAGAUAUAUCUACGCACAUUUAAUUAUAUAAUUGAGAUAAGAAAUUAGAGGUCCAAGAAGUUGUAUUUAGAUUUGCAACCUCAAAGUUGAGGUUAUGGCAGGCAAAAGAAAAAGGAGAAGCAUGUGCUUUUGAGAAAGGAACCCAUACAAACAAUUGCAAAUUAAGCAAAAUCGGAAUUAAACAAAUUAAGCAUGUGUUUUUUUACUCUUUAUGUGAUAAAAUCGGAAUGUGUACCAUAAAUAAAUAAGCAGAAAAUAAACUAAUACAAUCUAAAAUAAUAAAUCAACCAUAAGAGACAUAUUUUUAGAUGGAAAACCUAAAUCGAGAAAAAAACCAUAGAACUAUAGUCUAAUAUAACCUUCAACUAUAUUAAUAAGGGGAUUACAACACAUAUUCUUCUCUAGAUAACAUUAGAGGCUAACAACAUUAAGAAUCUCAACAAUCUUGGCUUAUAGUAAUAAUUUAAUAUUUGUCUCUCUAACAAAUGAGUAAUCUCAAAUAACAGGCAAUGAGAGAAUUACAUAAAAAUCAAGACCAGUAAAAAUGUAGAGGGCGAUGUCAGAAAUUUACCUCCAAAUUUGGGAGAAAACAGAGUUAAGUUUGCCUUUCUAUCAUCCAAUCAAAGAUUAAGAUCCUUACCUCCAAAUUGGAAUAAUCGGCCAUUGUAUAUUUUGAAAGCCAAAUUUAAUGGUAAUUUUCAAUUAGUCAUAACCUGUUUUCUUUAAUUAUUUAAACACCCAAAAUAAUGGAAACUUUGAGUUGGGCCACCCAAAUGAAAUAGACCUAACAAAUCUUCCCCACCAGGUUAUGUGGAGGGCACCACCAAGCCCGUUCUCGGUUUACAUUCUUUCAACUUUUCCUUGGGCAACGACUUUGUCAUCAUAUCUAACCUAUUCUUCAUGAAUCUUCUCAAGCUGUAAUUAUUUCUUUUCAAGUAUGUCUUGUAUGCAAUGAUACCUAACAUUAAUAUGCUUGGAUUUCGAAUGCUAUGUUGAAUUCAUUUCCACGUGAAAGGACUUUGACUAUCACAGUACACAACAUAGCUAUCUUGUUUCACAUCUAGCUUUUGUAAAAAAUUCUUCACCACAAGGUUUCAAAGAAAACUUCAAUGAUUGCAAUAUUGAUGAAUAAAUAAAGAAAAGCAAACAAAUACUUUGCUUUCGGUGAAACUUUCAAAUAUCAGUCUUUAUGACUUUAAGCUACAUUUACCAUGUCGAAUUGAAUUGGACUAAUUAUUAGAAUAAGACUGGAUUAGAUUAUAUUGGAUUAAGCUAGUGUAUAUUAUAUUGUCUUAUGUUUGGUGUAGUACCAAAUUAAACUAUGUUAAAUUAUAUUUAAAUGAUAUUAAAUAGCAUUUAAGUUUAUAUUUGAAUAUGAACAUCACUUAUUCAUGAAAUUUUAUAACAAUAAGUAAAUAAAUUUAAAAAGCAAUUAAUUAGAAAAUUAAGUAUAUUGUAAAUAAGUUAUUAGGUAGUCAUAAUAUAAUAAACAAAUAAAAAAGAAAUUAAAAAAUUUAAAUAUUUAAUUAAUUUUUAUCAAAUAAUUAAAAAAAUUAUAUAAAAUCAAUUAAUUAUUAUUUUUUUAAUUUUUAUGAUUAUUUUUAAGAAUCCACCUACAUUACAACAAUUACACCAUACCACACCUUUUUAUCGCUAUUUAGUAGAGUCGUUGGAUGCUUUAUUGUUCAAUGUAACCGCUGCAUAUAUAUAUAUUAAAUCAAACAGGUGUGCGGUUACUUUGUACGUACAACUUGGGUUCUUGCCUUGCUGCCGUCAUGGAGAAUUAAUGCCACUGGUCAACGGUGAAUCAAUGGCCAUCGGGCACCAAAUUCAUGGCCAAUCAAUGGCCAACAAGCACCAAAUUAAUGCCAAGCACACCAACAACCUCCGAUUAAAUGGCAAGUUUAGUGUUUUAAAGUUUAGAAUAUGGAGAAGCACUUGCUACUGUAUCCAGGUAUUAAAUCAUCAAAAACCAAUUUGGUUUGGACUCUUCAAUUCCAAUUUGACUCCUACACCAAUACCACCCAACAACAACUCAACAACCGAAUCACUCGUCCUAAUAUCAUAGCAAUCCAGUCGUCGGUUGCCCGCACGUGAGAGACUAUUUUCUUAUUCGUGCUCGGAAUUGUUGAAUUAAUUUUACAAUUCUCUUGCACCAAUUUUCAUCAUAUAUGCUGCCUCAAGAAGUGAAGAUCGAUGUCGGAAUCACUUUAAUUUAGUUUCAAUUACAUGAUGUUUGGGAUCUUCUUAUACCAAUUUCGGUCUACAAUUGCCUCAAGUAUCCAUGUCCGUCAAAUCUUAUUUGUAUUAAAGCAACCACCUAAACCGUUAACUUGUUUGAUUUAAAAAACAAAUAUUUGAAGCUGUUAGAUUGAACUCGUGUGUAAAUUAGGAUUACUAAUCCAAUAAUUUUAAAAUUAAAUUCAAAUUUAGUUUCUUUUAAUUCAAUUCAAGUAAAUUUAUUAAAUAUGAAAUAAAUAUUUAAUCUUAAAAUUAAUCCAAUUGGAUACUUAAUCCUGUCAUCCAGACAAGGCCUUAUUUGCCUUAAAGGCAACUUAAAAAGAAGUGUGACCGAAAACGUUUAUGAAGCCAUUUUUUUAUCGGGUUCAUAUAUAUAUAUAUAUAUAAUCUUUAUGCCAAUGAAGCGCCCGUCAAUCAGCGAAGUUAAUUUUUUUUUUUCAUUUCUUUUUCGACUGUGAUUCCGGAGGCUGCUGUCAAGACAAGAUUCCAGAGGAUGCUGAUAAGACAAAUUCAAAUUGACCUUUUUAAUAAUUAUUAUGUUUUCUAAGGUUUAAAAUUUUAUGUGUAACGUACAGCUAAUGUGAUGUAAGUUUUACCUGAUGUAUGAGUUGAUGAACCAUCAUGGUGAAAUCAAAAUACAAAAAUAAUAGAGGUCAAUAACGGCAUUCAAAAGAAAAGAAAAAUUAAAACACAAAGAAAAUAAGGCCGUUGGAUUCGUUUUUUCAAUUUUUUUUUUCUGAAUAUUAAUACGUUACAAUGAAAGAACUUGCUAAUAUUUUCCAUAUUGAUCAGGAUAAAAAGAUUGUUGAUACAAUCAUACGUCAAUUUUGUAAUAUUAUAGUACAAUUAAAAAGUUUUAUUUUAUUUUAAAAUAUAUUUAUCCUACAUAUUUAUAAAAGAUAUUGUAAAAGAAUUAAAUUAAUUAAGAUUAAAUCUUCCUGCAAUCAUACUUGUUCAAGCUUCAAGUGUUCUCUACAUUCACUAAAUUUUAUAAAAGUAUCUUCUUACUUUUUCUACUCUAUACCCUUUCGCUUGUGGUGGAAAAUAAAUUCUUAACAAGCAUAAAUUUGGAUAGGCUAGAAACCCUUUUUAUAACAAUAUUUUAUAACAUAGAAGACUUCACACUUCCUCCAUCAAAGAAGUGAGUUUAAUAACCUUUAUCACUUCGAUUAUGAAAAUGAUUAGUAAACUAUAAUGCUAUCCCUUGAAAUAAAUAAGUAGGUUAUUAAUAUAAGUUUAUCUAUUUAUUUAAAAAAAAUCACUUAUCAUGUGGACUAUAUAAUGAAACUUUGUGGAGAUAUAUCUACCCACAUUUAACUAUAUAAUGAGAUAAGAAAUUAGAGGUCCAAGGAGUAGUACUCAAAUCUACAACCUCAAAAGUUGAGGUCGUGGCAGGCAAAAGAAAAAGGAGAACCAUGUGUUGUUGGGAAAGGAACUUACAUGAGUAACUGCAAAUUAAGCAAACACUAAAAUUUUCCCUCUUUAUAUGAUAAAAUCGGAAUGUGUAUAAAAAAAUAAACAAGUAAAAAAUACACCAACACAAUUGAAAACAAUAAAUCAACCAUAAGAGAUACAAAUUAUUUUAUGUGGAAAACUCAAAUCGAGAAAAAACCACAGGACCAUAUAGGGGCGGAUGCAUCAUAUGACCAGUGGGGACUUGAGCCUCCACUGGCCAAAAAAAAAUUCUAAAAUUGAAAGAGAAAAAUAUUUUAGUUUUCUAAUUAACCCCCAUUAAAUUUAUUAAAAUAGUCACUAUAAAUUAUAAAACCCUAUAAAAUUUAAACUUUAACUUUUAAAAAUUAUAAAAACUUAUAUUUUAAUUAAAAAUAAUGAUAGCCCACCACCCAAAAUAUUUUAUAUUCUUAAAAAUAAGAUUAAUUCUUCAAGUUUCUAUAAUAAUAGUAGAGCGAAUGUUUUCAGUAAUGAAACUCAUGAAGAAUCAUCUUUGGAAUCGGAUGGGAUAAAUGAUAGUUUUGUUGUUUAUAUAGAAAACAAUAAAUUUAAUAAUAUUGAUGAUGAGUCUACUGCAUAACAUUUUUAAAAUAUGAAAAUGCAUAGAGAAUAAUUAUAAAUGUAUUAGCAAAUAAUUUAUAUAUUCAAAAUUUUAGUUUUUCAUAUUUUACUACUAUCUAAUUUAGCCCCCAGUAAAUUAUUUUUCUAGAUCCGCCACUGGGACCAUAGUCCAAUAUAACCUUCCAUUAUAUUAAUAAUGGGAUUACUACACAAAUUCUUCUCUAAAUAAUACUAGAGGCAAACAAUAUCAAGAAUCUCAACAAUCUUGCUCAUAGUAAUAGUCUAAUAUUUUUCAUUCUAACAAGUGGGUAUCUCAGAUAACAACCAAUGAGAGAAUGAAAUAAAAAUCAAGACCAGUAAGAAUGUAGAGGGCGAUGCCAGAAAUUGCCUUCCAAAUUUGGGAGAUUAAGUUUGCCUUUCGAUCGUCCAUUCAAAGAUUAAAAUCCUUACCCCCAAAUUGAGUCUGCCACUGUCUUCUUUUUCUCUCUCAUCUUUUCUAUGUUUUUAAGGCUGCUGCUUCACUUGUCUACUUUUUCUUUUAUAGCCAGGUGAUUUUCAAAGCCAAAUUUGAUGGCAAUUUUCAAUUAGCCAUAACAUAUUUCCUUUAAUUUCUUAAACACCCAAACUAAUGGAAACUUUGGUUUGGGCCACCCAAAUGAGAUGGAUUCAACAAAUCUUCCCAUCAGAUCAUAUGGGGGGCACUACCAAGCCCGUUCUCUACUUACAGUCUUUCAACUUCUCCUUGGGCAACGACUUUGUCAUCAUAUCUGACACAUUCUUCAUGAAUAUAGUCGGGCUGCAACUAUUUCUUUUCAAGCACGUCUUGUAUUCAUUGAUACCUCACCUUAUAUGCUUGAAUUUUGAAUGGUAUGUUAAAUUCAUUACCAAGUGAGAGCACUUUGAUUAUCACAGUACACGACAUAGCUAUUUUGUUUCACAUCCAGCUCUUGUGAGAAAUUCUUCACCACAAAGGGUUUUAGUGAUUGCAAUAUACUCUGCUUCUAUGGUGGAGAAAACAACACGAAGUUUGAAAUCCUCUUAGACUACCCCCCUGCAAAGGUAAGCAAAUAUCCUGAUAGGAAUUUUCUAGGAUCAACAUCUCUUGCCAUAUAUGUUGUACACUUAUAACACAACUUGUCACCAUUAAAACAUAAACAUGUCUUGGAAGUGACUCUGAGAUAUCUGAGGGUCCAUUUCACUGCUGUUCAGUGUUCUUUGCCUGUACUAUAAAGAAACUGACUGAGUACACCAACUGCAUGUGCAAUAAUUGGUACAAGCCAUGGCGUACAUCAGUCUGCGAAGUGUUGAAGCAUAAAAUAGUCCUUUCAUCUGCUGCUUCUCUUUCUCGCUUGUAGGAAAAUGCUUGGAACUAAGCCUCAAAUGGCCCGCAAGUGGAGAACAAACAUAUUUUGCCUUGCUCAUGUUAAUUCUUUCAAGAGCACUUUCAAUAAAUGCUUCUUGAGAUAACCAUAACUUGCCAAUUUUUCAGUCAUAGGAAAUGGUCAUGCCAAGAAUGUAUAUUGUCGAUCCUUGAUCUUUUAUUAUAAAUGACUUGCUAAGCUUUUUCUUUAGAUUAUCAAUCUUACUAGCAUCAUGGUCAACAAUUAACAUAUCAUCCACAUAAAGAAAAAGAAUGAUAAAAUUAUUAUCACCAAGCUUCUUUACAAAAAGACAAUAUCUUGCUAAAACCAUGAUUCUCUGUAAAAAAAUCAAACUUUUUGUAAUAUAGUCUUGGUGCCUAUUUCAGUCAAUACAAACUUUUCUUCAACUUGCAUACACUUUCUUUGUUGCCUUUAACAUUGAAUCAUUCAGGUUGCUCCAUGAAUAUCUCCUCCUUUAAGUCACCAUGCAAGAAACUCAUUCUCAUAUCCUAGAGACUUUCUAUCCAUCAACAUCCAAGAUUUAUCCAUAUUUAGACUAUUAACUUUCCUACAAAUGCAUCACAUUUCAUUUGUUCAGUUUUAUUAAUAUUGGAGUUUGAUAUUGUUUCCAACCAUAAGAACAACUAUUAAAGUUACAAAAUCAACAAGAAAACAGCAGUUAAAAUACAAUAAAAAAUAACACUUAACAGCAAGAGAAAACCUAUAUCUUCAUCAUGACUAAUUAUAACAGUAAUAUUAUAAGCCAUAUACCAUAAAUCAUGGAAAGAGCAUGUUGAUGCUGAAAUCUGAACUAGUUGGUUAGAGACUCAAUAUCAGAUCCCUGCAUCAGCAUUAAAUUUGUUUGGUGGGAAGCUGCUGGUUGAUCUCUAAGAAUAUUCUCUGACUAUGAGCAGAACAUUCAUGAGCAUAUAAUCUUCAAGCUGACGAUCAAUAAGUACCUGAAAUUACAGAGAAUUGUCAGAGGUGCUGGAAGUUUUUCCGGCGUAAACCCUCCAACGCUCAAGUCAGUUAUGGGGGUUACAGGAAAAACCAAAUAUGCCCCUUUUCAUAUGGCUUAAUAAACAUUGCUUUAAAACCAAAAGCUUUUUGAAUAAUUUGCAGAAAAAUAAAAUAGAGUAUCCAGAAAGGAUUUCUCCAUCAGAUCCAAAGAAAAAAGAGCCCCCCCUCUGGCGUGGUUUUCUCGGGGUUUUUAUGAACACCCUACACCCACGACCUUAGAUCGUGCCAAUAACCAUUAAUUGAUCAAAUUCGUGCCCUCAUUUUUCGGAGGAGCUUUGUGGUGGUUUAUUUUAAUUGAGUCUUUAUUCCUGGUCAUCACCUGGUCGAGGUGAUCUGCUCAAGCUCAUAGCACCUGAUCGAGGUGAUCUGCUCCACCUCAUAGCACCUGGUCGAGGUGAUCUGCUCCACCUCAUAGCACCUGGUCGAGGUGAUCUGCUCAAGCUCAUAGCACCUGAUUGAGGUGAUCUGCUCCACCUCAUAGCACCUGGUCGAGGUAAUCUGCUCCACCUCAUAGCACCUGGUCGAGGUGAUCUGCUCCACCUCAUAGCACCUGGUCGAGAUGAUCUGCUCCACCUCAUAGCACCUGGUCGAGGUGAUCUGCUCAAGCUCAUACCACAUGCUCAUCUGCUCAAGCUCACACCACCUGGUCAAGGUGACCUGCUCAACCAUUUGCUCACUUUCACUCGGAGGAGAUCAUGGUCACUCUAUUUAAUUCCUCAAACACCAGUCCCCCAGUUUCUAGUGUUGAGAGUAAAACAAAUCAAUACUGGAAACUAUAAAGUUUAUAAUUUUGGCAAACCUAUGCCUUAGGAAUAUUUUUUGCGAAUUUUUCCCAAUUGUCCUCACACGACUGAGCAGGUUUGGGCAAAUCUUUACUUUGGCAAAUUUUGCAAGAUAUGGCUGCUGGUCCUUCAAACGACCGAGCAGGAGUUGGCCCAUGUUUGCCUUAGUAAAAUUUAAUAGACUUUAGCUGUUGGUCCUUUAAACGACCGAGCAGGAAUAGGCACUUGCAUGCCUUAGUAGAAUUUACGAAAUAGCCUGCUGGUCCUUUAGGCGACCGAGCAGGAGUAGGCACAUGCUUGCCUUAGUAGAAUUUACGAAAUAACAUGUUGGUCCUUUAGGCGACCGAGCAGGAAUAGGCACUUGCUUGCCUUAGUAGAUUUUUUACAGAAUUAGCUGCUGGUCUUUCGUUGACCGAGCAGAAGCAUGCACUUUCUUGCCUUCGUAGAAUUUUCGUAGAUUAGCUGCUGGUCUUUUGGUGACCGAGCAGAAGCAGGCACUUUCUUGCCUUAGUAGAUUAGCUGCUGGUCUUUCGUUUGACCGAGUAGAAGCAGGCACUUACUCGCUUUAGUAGAUUAGCUGCUGGUCUUUCGUUUGACCGAGCAGAAGCGGGCACUUUCUUGCCUUAGUAGAUUAGCUGCUGGUCUUUCGUUUGACCGAGCAGAAGCAGGCACUUACUCGCUUUAGUAGAUUAGCUGCUGGUCUUUCGUUUGACCGAGCAGAAGCAGGCACUUACUCGCUUUAGUAGAUUAGCUGCUGGUCUUUCGUUUGACCGAGCAGAAGCGGGCACUCUCUUGCCUUACUAGAUUAGCUGCUGGUCUUUCGUUUGACCGAGCAGAACCAGGCACUUACUCGCUUUAGUAGAUUAGCUGCUGGUCUUUCGUUUGACCGAGCAGAAGCGGGCACUCUCUUGCCUUACUAGAUUAGCUGCUGGUCUUUCGUUUGACCGAGCAGAAGCAGGCACUUACUCGCUUUAGUAGAUUAGCUGCUGGUCUUUCGUUUGACCGAGCAGAAGCGGGCACUCUCUUGCCUUACUAGAUUAGCUGCUGGUCUUUCGUUUGACCGAGCAGAACCAGGCACUUACUCGCUUUAGUAGAUUAGCUGCUGGUCUUUCGUUUGACCGAGCAGAAGCGGGCACUCUCUUGCCUUACUAGAUUAGCUGCUGGUCUUUCGUUUGACCGAGCAGAAGCAAGCACUUUCUUGCCUUCGUAGAAUUUUCGUAGAUUAGCUGCUGGUCUUUUGGUGACCGAGCAGAAGCAGGCACUUUCUUGCCUUAGUAAAAGUCUCAUAAAUUUAGCUGCUGGCCCUUUCAUAAAUCAUUCUCAUAUUGAGCAACUUUCCAGAUAUCAAGUUGAUUGAGUUAUAUCACUAGCUUUAAUAUGAGCUCUAUCAGUUUGACAUGUACAAACUAUCCUCAUUUGAUAAAUUACUAGUAGGUAAAUACUAUAGCUGCAAAUAAAGGCUGCAAAUGCAUGUUUUCAUGUAGACAUCAAGACAUAAAUUUGUUAAAAUUUCUGACCUGAUUAAGAUGCAACUUUUUGCAUCAAUGUCUCCUUCCAUGUGCAUAGCUUGCCUCAUUCGCAAAUGUAUCAAAAUUGACAUUUUGUAGUGAAAUUGCAUAACAGAAUUCCCUGCAUAUUCUUCAGACGAAAAUGAGCUGUCUGAUUCCUGCAAACGUGUGCAGCCAAUGUGCUCUCAUUUGAGGUUUUUGAUUCAAAUCCUUGAAUAUGGAUCUGUUCUGUAAAAGAAUUUGAAAAACUUGUCUAGCGAUCUGAGCCAAAUCUGAAUUGGCCAUAAUACUACAAACUGGCUGCUCCAUAAUCAUUAAAAAAUCAUUGCACUCAUAAAUAUGACUUUCUAAUAUUAUUCCCAUGUAAAAUUUUGGAUUGAAUACUUAAGAAAGCAUGUCCAAUUCUUAAAUUGAUAAAAUAUCUAUGUAUCUAUUUUAUACAUGAUUGGUUAUGUUAUCAUGUUGUGAAAUCAAGUACUAAUUCCUCACAUUCCCAUAUGACUGCAGAAUUUACUCCUGAUAUUCCAGGAUCGUUGUGGAAUGAAUUCCUGACAUUUUGAGAUCAUCAAUUCCAUAAUGCACUAUCAAUUUAAAGUUACAUGUCUCAACAAGAGAUUUGUGCUCAUGCAUGCAUCAUUGAUGCUAAACAUAUGCGUGAUGAUAAAAAGAAUAUUCAGCUAAGAAUAAUUUUUUAGUUAAAAAAUGGGAUGCAUUUGCAAACCAAUCUGAUUAGUUUUAAUGUGCAUAAGACAGGCAAGUUGCAACAAUAGCAGUAUUACAAUUUGCAAAAAUUGAAUGAUAUAAAAUAAUCAAGGAAGUGGUUCGAGUGCACCUGUAAUUGACCAUUUGAAAUAUGGCUUCUGACCUUUGGUAAAUUUUUUUUUUUUUUUGUGAACUUCGUUCUGCUCUAUUGUUGUGACUAUACUUCCCCUACAACUUCUGAGCUUCCUUUCAUUAUCACUGUGAAAACCUUCAUACUUGCUUGAUGAACGCUCAUGGUAAUUGAAAAAAAACUGAGAAAGAAUUUCUUUGUUCCUGAAUGGACAAUCAUUUGCCUUUUUCCCAACUUAUUUUUUAUUAUUAAUGCUUUGCCUUCCAUUUGCCUUCCUUGAUUCUGAUCUAGCUUACUCAGCAUAUCCUUUUAUAAGCUUAAUAAAACAUUUAAAUGAUCUAUAACUUAUGAAAAUUGUGAGUAGAAAAAUAACAUAAUUCGUUUAGACUUUCUAUCAAAUAAUUGGUGGGCUUAACACCAUGUCCUGAUUAUGUGAUUAUCUUCCUUCUGAUUUUACCCAAAAAUUUCACAAUAAAAAGUAGUUAAUCUAAGGUAGCUUAAGCAACAAAGGCAUGGAUAUGUUCUUAAACAUAAAAGCCAAACAGGUAAUUCUGAAAACGAUAAGUGCGCAGCACAUGCUUUCAAGCGAUUAAAGUAAGCAUGUUGUUUUGACAAUUGGAUGGCAAGCACAUGAUUAACUAAAGACAAAUGGCAAGCACAUGAUUCCUGUAAGUUCUCAUGCCAUGCACUGGACUUCAAAUCCUAACUCUGUUAAAAUGCGUCUCGAUUCCAUUUACUGAAGCUUAUUCCUCAUUCCAUUUCGAGGAUUUGGAACUUAUUUAACGAUAACUGAAGCAUGCAGUAAAUGAACAUUUGAUUCUAAAUCUUCAUGCCACAAUGCAGGUGAUGGCAACUUAAACAAAUUGAUCUUUGUGAUUUAAUCAUGUAUAGCCAUAAAUGAAAAGCUCUUAUAUUUAAAAUGAAUUUAUACUCACAAUUAUCAAAAUUAUGCAAUCAAAUAAACUGAUUUUCGUAAUUUCAUAUUUCAAACUGCAAAAUUUUUUUUUUGAUGAAGACAAGAAUCAAGUUCUCGUCAAGCUAAUGUGUGAAUUAAAGUGAAAAGUCGAUGACUUACGAAUGAGCAAAUUCCUUUAAUGCCCGAAUUUGGUCACUAGCCUCUGGGCUGUCCUUAAUCAAGAUUCGUCCCCAACAAUUUAGUUUGCUAAUCACUUCUGCUUCGGUCAAAUCCAAACUGGUAGAGACAAUGAUGACUUUUUGUACCGAUCCCCACAGACGGCGCCAAAUGUUGAUGCUGAAAUCUGAACUAGUUGGUUAGAGACUCAAUAUCAGAUCCCUGCAUCAGCAUUAAAUUUGUUUGGUGGGAAGCUGCUGGUUGAUCUCUAAGAAUAUUCUCUGACUAUGAGCAGAACAUUCAUGAGCAUAUAAUCUUCAAGCUGACGAUCAAUAAGUACCUGAAAUUACAGAGAAUUGUCAGAGGUGCCGGAAGUUUUUCCGGCGUAAACCCUCCAACGCUCAAGUCAGUUAUGGGGUUUACAGGAAAAACCAAAUAUGCCCCUUUUCAUAUGGCUUAAUAAACAUUGCUUUAAAACCAAAAGCUUUUUGAAUAAUUUGCAGAAAAAUAAAAUAGAGUAUCCAGAAAGGAUUUCUCCAUCAGAUCCAGAGAAAAAAGAGCCCCCCCUCUGGCGUGGUUUUCUCGGGGUUUUUAUGAACACCCUACACCCACGACCUUAGAUCGUGCCAAUAACCAUUAAUUGAUCAAAUUCGUGCCCUCAUUUUUCGGAGGAGCUUUGUGGUGGUUUAUUUUAAUUGAGUCUUUAUUCCUGGUCAUCACCUGGUCGAGGUGAUCUGCUCAAGCUCAUAGCACCUGAUCGAGGUGAUCUGCUCCACCUCAUAGCACCUGGUCGAGGUGAUCUGCUCCACCUCAUAGCACCUGGUCGAGGUGAUCUGCUCCACCUCAUAGCACCUGGUCGAGAUGAUCUGCUCCACCUCAUAGCACCUGGUCGAGGUGAUCUGCUCAAGCUCAUACCACAUGCUCAUCUGCUCAAGCUCACACCACCUGGUCAAGGUGACCUGCUCAACCAUUUGCUCACUUUCACUCGGAGGAGAUCAUGGUCACUCUAUUUAAUUCCUCAAACAGAGCAAAUAAUAUAAUUUUCAAAAAAUAGAGAAAUAGAAAAAAAAUAGAAGUACCUUUUGCUAUUCGUUCCAAGAAUCGCGGAGCAGGUAACAACUUAAGAGACUGAAUCACGACUAAAAAUAGAGAAGAAUAGAAGCAAGACUUGUUUUUAGAUUUCUACUGAAAAAGACAAUUAUUGAAAUAAAACUUGUCCACGACAAUAAACUGGCUAGCUAUUGAAAUGAUUUAAACAAUCCAUAUAUAAAGUAUUAAAUUAAGUAUGCAAAUGUCACAUGUAGCAAAACAACAUAUACAAUAUGAUGAAAUUUCAACAGCAAAAUUGGGUGUUAAAACCGUUAAAUAAAAUCCAUUUUUCCAUUAGAGAAAUCUAAAUUUUGAGAAUUUUGGUUUAGCUUGCUUUGGUCAACUUAGUCACNNNNNNNNNNNNNNNNNNNNNNNNNNNNNNNNNNNNNNNNNNNNNNNNNNNNNNNNNNNNNNNNNNNNNNNNNNNNNNNNNNNNNNNNNNNNNNNNNNNNUUAUUCCGUUUCUAUUGGGAAUGAUGAUACAAGCGGAAAGGUGUUAAAGCAUUGCUUAAAAUAUUUAUAGGGGCAAAGAGCAAUUGCAGCAGUUUAGCCAUGUAAAUAAGUAAGAACUUGACCAGUAUGUAAAGUUCACAAAGUAGCUAGAAGAACUCCAGAGAAGGCAUUAGUCGAAUGUAGCCACUAUAAAAAUUUCCACAAACAAAUUAAUUUAUAAAAAAGCAGUGGAUAAGGAGUUAAGCAUACAUUAAUUUGUUUUUAGAAGAUACAGCGAAAUUUCCAUAUUGGCUACUAUUCCACUAAUGGUUUCUUUCCACAAUUCCCAAUAUUAAGAUCUAUUGAAAACUAAGCAAACAUUAAAUUGCUUGUGGAAUUUACAUAAGUCAAUAUAACAGCAGUUGAACUGGAUGCAGUUUGGGUGGAGAAAAAUGGUUUCUGUUCCUAAUUCCCAUUAUUAUGUUCUAUUGAAAAUUAAACAUACAUUAAUUUGUUUCUGGAAAUUUACAUAAGUCAAUAUAAUAGUAGCUGAACUGGAUGCAGUUUGGGUGGAGAAGUAGUGAGCGCUGGUUUUGGUGGAGAUGUUGGCAUUAAAGAGGUACUAAAUAACUACAACUUUAAAUCAAAAGAAAGAGUUUGUGCUAAUAUUUGCCAUGCAUAACUUCAACUUUAAAUCAAACUAAUGCUUACAAAUGGCAUGCAUCCAUAUCCACCACGUCGCAUACUACAUCACUCUUAUAAAUCUUUCUAAUGGAGAAAGGAACACGACAUUAUUCGCAUUUUUGUCCCUUUCUUAAUCUACUAUAUUUUGCAAGGUGCUGGAUAUUUUUCUGUUGAAAGUCCUAUCAGAUCGAUUAGCGCCUUUAAAAUUAUGUUCUCACUAUUGUUGAUAUCAAUUAUCACGUUGCACACCUUAUCUUUGAUGGUGCCACGUGUUCUGAAAUCUUAUUGCACUAAUUAUCCUCUUCAAAUCUUGGUGCUAAUAAAAUCUUCUACAUAGUGUAAUUCAACAUCUCUCCUUCAUGUACCUCUAACUCUAAAGCUUCUUCAUCAUCCUCAUCCGCAACAUUAUUCAUCUCUGCUUAGCCAUAGCGUUUAUUUUCUCUCUUUCAAAUAUCAAAUAAUGGUUAAUAUUUUCUUCAGGAUUAUCUUUUCUUUCUUGCUUGUGAUGCUGCUGCUGCUGCUGCUCAUGAAUGAUAAAGUGGCGCUAGGGCAAGAUGGGGAUCCCGUGGGAUCAAUACAAGGAGGAGGAGGAAGAGAAAUGGUGCCUGCCUUGUUCAUUUUUGGAGAUUCACUUAUCGAUAAUGGCAACAAUAACAAUCUUCCUUCUUUUGCCAAAGCAAAUUAUUACCCCUAUGGUAUCGAUUUCAAUGGUGGCCCAACUGGCCGCUUUUCUAAUGGCCACACCAUGGUCGAUGAAAUUGCUAACUCUCUUUAUCUAUGCAUUUGAUUUAUAUUUUUAUAAUUUUUUUUCCUUUUCAAAAUCCUGAAGGUACAUGAAAAUUUAUAUACACCAUGAUUGCAUGCAAUGCAGGGUAUUUUAAUUGCUGAUCUGACGAAUUAUUAUGAUUACUUCUUUGCUAGCAAAAAAAAAAGAAGCAUAAAACAGAUGUCAUUUUUAGAUUUUUCUUCUUUGUAAAUUUGUGUCACACUCUUGAGCAUAGUUAGAAAUAUCUGUGAAGUGAGUUUCAUAGUCAUGGCUUCAAUGACACAUAUCCAAAUUCAUUACAAUUAAUUAAUUGAUUUCCUACUUCUAUCCCUUUUAAAAAAAAUUAACAAAAUAAAAGUACUUGUUUAGUUAUCUAUUUCGGGGGGGGGGGGGGGGGGGGGGGGGGGGAAUAUUGGCAUUUAUUGGUCUGGCCCCACCCCUAUAUGUCCCUUUGGGAGGGCUCGCACUGUCCCAUAAUAUUUAUUUCUAAACAAUCACAGUCAUUAUCUUAAAUCAAUAAAAAUAACAGAAAUUUUUUUGUUUUAUUUUUUACAUUUAUUAUAUCUACACCCACUUACACCUAACUCGUAUUAAUCCGCAAGUACGAUCUGUUUGGGGAUAAAUUCACCAUAUCUGGUAGGCGUGUCUUAUUAAUGGCUAAAAGCUUCCAUAUGCAUAACCUCUUUAAAUUGUGUCCGCUUUCAAAGAAAAUUUUCUUUUUUGUCCAUUAGCUUUUAUUUACUCUUCACAAAUAUUUUUAAUGUCAUACUAACCAAAUCUUGUAAAUUCAUCCAUUCAGCUGAACUACUGGGACUUCCUCUGAUUCCUGCAUACUCUGAAGCUUCCGGUGCACAAGUGCUUCACGGAGUCAACUAUGCUUCUGCCACUGCUGGAAUCCUCGACAUCACCGGAAGAAACUUCGUAAGGACUCAUAUAUCUAAUUCAAACGAACCAGGAUUCCCUUUUGAUCUGAAUUUUAAUGAGAGGAUUUUAUAUCUAACACGAGAUAUAUAUUUUUUGUAGGAAUGGGCAGCAAUGACGACCUAAACAAUUAUCUUAUGCCCAAUUACAAUACCAAAAAUCAAUACAAUGCUCAGCAAUAUGCUGAUCUUUUGGUUUCAGAAUACUCAAGACAACUCACAGUAAGAUUCAAUUUCACUAUAUUUACAUUUUUUACCAUAUGCAUGCAUUUUAGUUACUUUAUUUUUUUAGCUUGUAAACAUAUUUAUAUAACUUGUAUUAAGUAUUGAUUGAAAAUCUACAGACCCUUUACAAUUUGGGAGCAAGGAAAUUUGUGUUGGCCGGAUUAGGAAGAAUGGGAUGUAUUCCAAGAAUUUUGGCUCAAAAUCAGAUGGAUCGCUGUUCAGAAAAAGUGAAUCCAACUUGUUAUGCCUUUUAAUGCACAUGUGAAGACUAUGAUUAACAAUCUUAAUGCCAAUCUUCCUGGUGCAAGAUUCACCUUCAUUGACAUUGCCCGCAUGUUUGAAGAUCUCCUCACCAAUUAUAGAUCAUACGGUAUGCAAUUUUCCCACUAAACAUAUCGUAUUGUAGUUAGAUAUGAUGUGUGCUGUCUAGCCUAAAAUCUUUUAUUUUAAAAUGUGCGGACACUGACAAAAGAUAAUAAAGAUUUCGUCCUCGUAUUUUAAAAUCAAGGAACAAUUUACAGUGGCUGAACUAGGAUUUUGAUUUGACAAGCACGGCCUAGAGGUGGAAAUAACGGAGAAAUUAUCGUCUUGCUGUGCUACAAUAAAAGCAAGACAUUUUAAAAUUAAAUUUAAAUAAGUGCAUAAAAUAAGCAAAAUUUUACUUAAUAGAAUAAUGUUUAUGAUCACUUUUUUUUUUAUCCCAAAUAAUUCUACAGGAUUCAGUGUAUUAGAUCGAGGGUGCUGUGGCAUUGGACGAAACGGAGGCCAAAUUACAUGUCUUCCAUUCCAAACACCAUGUGCAAAUCGAGAACAAUACGUUUUCUAGGAUGCAUUUGACCCAACAGAAGCUGUGAACAUUAUGUUUGGAAGAAAAGCUUUCUAUGGUGACCAGAGCGUUGUUUAUCCCAUGAACAUCCAGCAGCUUGCCAGUCUUUAAACUUAGAAAUUAAAGGGACAUAUAUGUUAUUGUAAUGUUUCUUGCUUGCUUAAUUGCUUUGCAUAAUUGUUGGGAUUAUAUGCUUUUUAAAAGCAUAUUAAUUUAUUUUCUGAUUAAUAAAAUAUUUGAGAUAUUUUCAAUUGCAUAAAUAUUUUGAAUAAGGUCCGUUUAAUCAUAUUAUAUGUAUUUAUGUGAUCAUCAUAUGGAUUCACAGAAGAUAUAAAUACAAGUUAUCUUAUGAUUAAAUAAAUUAAGUUCGCAGUUGAUAAAUAGAGUUGGGCGCUCUAUUUAUGUUUAGACUGUAGUUAAUUGUUAUAAGUGAAUAUGAAAUAGUUCACUCAAAGCAAGGAUAAAUGGAUGAAAGUACUACACAUUUUUUUCACAAUGAGGUUGCCUUUUAUAGGCGUUACUUGAACAAACUUAACGAAAUAAUAGCAGCCAUUAUUCAGCAAAUACUGCAGCCACUUUCCAGUAACUAUAGCCUAAAGACUAGGUAAACACAAUCUUGCAAAUAACAUUACCAACAAACUUCCUAAAGACUAGGACCAUAAAAGCAACUUAUUGACACAAGGAAAUUCCAACAAUCCCUCCCUUAAACUAAAUGUUAUUAACAUUCAGUUUAAACAUUCUGCAGAAUCUUCCUCAAAUUGCAAUUUGCAAACUCCAAGUGACUUUCUCAGCUUCAAAAAACUAGCCAAUUUGAGGGGUUUAGUAAAGAUGUCAGCAACUUGGUCUUCACUCCUGCAAUAAACAAGAUCAAUGACUUCAUUUUUUGUCAAGUCUCACAAGAAAUGAUAUCUCACAUCUUUGUGCUUGCAUCUUUCAUGUAGAACCGGAUUCUUUGAAAGUUUAAUUGUUGACCUAUUAUCACAUAAGAUUUGUGUUGACUCUGGUUGCUUAAACUGAAGUUCAUGAAGAAUAUUUCUUAGCCAAAGUGCUUGACAUGCACAAGAAGCUGCUGCAACAAACUCAGCCUUAGUUGUUGACAAAGUAACUAUCGGUUGCUUCUUAGAUGACCAUGAAAUAGCUGCUGAACCAAACAUAAAUACAUAUCCAGAUGUGCUUCUUCUGUCAUCCAAAUCUCUAGCAUAAUCACUGUUUGUAAAGCCAUACAAAUCUGAUUUUUUUACCCUUUUUGUAGAACAACCCAAAUUCAGUAGUACCACGCAAGUAUCGAAGAAUUCUCUUUGCAGCUAAAAGAUGAUCCUCUCUUGGACGCUCCAUAUAUUUGCUGAUGGAACUAACUGCAUGCAUUAUAUCAGGUCGAGUUGCCAUUAAGUACAUCAAGCUUCCAACAAUCUGUUUGUAAAGGGUACUAUCAACUAUUCUUCCUGCAGGAUCCUUAACAAGCUUCAAUCCUUUUUCAAUUGGAGUAGUGACAGAGUUGCAGUUCCUCAUUUGAAAUCUUUCUAAGAUCUCUUCCAUAUAUUUCUUUUGACAAAUAAAUUUUCCAGCAUCAGAUUAUAUGACUUCUAAGCCAAGAAAAUAAUGCAGCAAACCAAGAUCAGUCAUAUCAAAUUCAAGCAUCAUGGAUUCCUUGAAUUUCUCAAACAUUACUCUGUCAUUUCUCGUGUAAAUCAAAUCAUCUACAUAUAAACAUACCAUAAGCAUUUUCCCAUCAUCUCCAAUUUUUGUGUACAGAGUAUGCUCAUAUGAGCAUUUUCGAAAACCUUCCUUCAAGAAAUAAGCAUCUAUAUGACUAUACCAAGCUCGGGGUGCUUGUUUUAUUCCAUAUAGAGCUUUUUUCAAUUUAUAGACUUUAUGCUCACUGCCUAAUUUCACAUAUCCAGGAGGUUGUUCGAUAAAUACCUCUUCUUGUAGCUCCCCAUGCAAGAAUGCUGAUUUCACGUCCAGUUGAAAAACAGGCCAUGAAUUUUGUGCUGCAAGAGCAAUAAUCAAUCUGACCGUUUCAAGUCUUGCAACGGGAGCAAAUACUUCUUUAUAAUCUACGCCGAACUCUUGCUUGUAGCCUUUGGGGACUAGGCGUGCCUUGUAUUUAUCAAUUUCACCAUUUUCCUUCAGUUUUGUCUUGUAAAACCACUUGACUCCUAUUGUCCUCUGCCCCAUUGGAAGUUCAGUCAACUCCCAAGUAUUAUUUUUUUCAAUGGAUACAAUUUCUUCGUCCAUGGCUUUUAGCCAUUCUUGUUCUUUGACAGCUUCUUUAAAAGUUGUAAGAUCACAUUCUAAAAACAAGGCAAAGUGUAUGAGUGGAUUCUCAAGAGUGUUAAAUCUUGUUACCUCAUAAUCUAACGUCCAUGCAGGCCUUCUUCUAUCACGUUGAGAACGUGAAUCUGUAGCUUCAACUUGUUCAUCAAGUUCAUUUGUUGUUGGUGGAGUUUUCUGCUGAGACUCUAUUUUGCGGCAGGUCAGGAGCAAAGACUGUUGAAGGCUGAAGUUACUGUGAAUUUUCUUCAAUUUCACCAUCGAAAUCUGCUAGAAUUUGCUGCCCAACAGAGCUGCAUCUCUACAUCCAUGUCUUCUCUUCAUCAAAAAUGACAUCACGACUAAUGACAAUUUUCUUGAUGAUGGGAUCAUAUAAUUUGUAGGCCUUUGAAUGAUCACUAGCACCAAGAAAAAUGCACUUUACACCUUUGUCAUCUAAUUUUCUUCCUUUCUCAUCUGGUAUGUGGACAUAUGCUAUACAUCCAAAUUCCCGAAAGUGAUCUACUGCCGGCUUACGUCCACUCCAUGCUUCUUCAGGAUUUAUAUUUUGAACAUCUAUUAUGGGGCUUCUGUUCAAAAUAUAAACACUUCAAACAACUGCUUCAGGUCAAAAAAUUUUGGGAAGACCACUCCUCUGCAAAAGGCUUCGUACCAUAUUAAGAAUUGUACGAUUUUUCCUCUCGCAUACACCAUUUUGCUGAGGUGUGUAGGCUGCUGUCAAUUGUCUUCUAAUUCCAUGAUUUUCACAGAAGCUUCCAAAUUCUUGAGAGUUGAACUCUCCACCACGAUCAGUACGCAAUAUUUUAAUUUGGCUGUAAGCUUCUCUUUCAACUAGUGCUUUAAACAUUUGAAAGGCUGUGAAAGCUUCCGAUUUUUCUUGCAAGAAAUAAACCCAGGUUUUUUGACUAAAAUCAUCAAUAAAUGAGAUAAAAUAUCGGUUACCUCCAUUUGAUGUUGGCUUGAUUGGCCCACAUAAGUUAGAAUGCACUAGCUCCAGCACUUUCUUUGCCCUCCAGGAUUUUCCUUUUGGAAAAUUAUCUCGAUGUUGCUUACUGAAAAUACACUCUUCGCAAAGCUGUGAAGGUUGCUCAAAUUGUGGAAGGCCUACCACCAUAUUUUUCUACUGCAAGGCCUUCAAUCCACCAAAACUAAGAUGCCUGUAAUGAAAGUGCCAUAACCAUGCCGUAUCUUUGAAAUUUGCAACAAAACAUGAGUGUGCAGUAUGGUGAAGAUACAAUGGAAACAUUCUAUUUGCCGUCAUUUUCACUUGAGCAAUUAAGCCUAAUUUUUCAUCGUGGAUUCGGAAAACUCCUUCCUUGAUAGAGAUCUCAUACCCCUUUUCUUGUAACUGGCCAACACUGAAAAGGUUAGUUUUCAGUUCAGGAACGAAUAGAACAUUUGAGAAAGAAUGAGAACUUUCCUUGGUUUGGAUUGCAACCUUUCCUUUCCCCAUGACAGAAACUGUGGAGUCAUCACCAAAUUUUACAGUAUUUCGAAAAGUUUCAUCCAAGUCAGAAAAAGCAGAUUUAUCCCCACACAUAUGAUUGUUGCAACCGGUAUCUAAGUACCAUAGAUUUUGGUGACCUUCCUCCUUUGUAUGACAUGCCAUAAGAAGGGAAAUUUCUUCUUCCUCAUUUUCUGCAAAGUUAGAUUUCUCGCCACGAUUCUUAUUUAAAUUAGUACGGCACUCGGAGCAGUAAUGAUCGUACUUCUGACAACAGAAGCAUUUAACAUCCGAUUUGUCUUUAGACUUUGGUUUAUGUCCUGUCGAAUUCUGACCAUCAUAAUCCUUUCCUUUUCCUUGAGAAUCACCAACCUUUUCUUCUAAUCUGUUCUGCCCAUUCUUGCCUUUCCAGCCUCCUUUACCCCCUCCAGUUGGUUUGAGAUUUGCUGCUGCCUGUAAUGCAUGUUCUUCCUUAUCCUGUCGGAUUACUUUCUGCUCAUGGACUAGUAAAGUGCUUUCCAAUUCAUCAAUCGAAAGUGUGUCAAUAUCCCUUGAUUCCUCAAUCGCACAAACAAUAUAGUUAAAUUUUGCCGUUAAAGAUCGAAGAAUCUUCUCAAUUAUGAUAACAUCCUCGAGCUGUUCGCCAUGAAUUCAUCUCUUAUUUGCGAUUGCCAUUGUCCUUGCAAAGUAUGCUGAGACCGACUCUCCCAUCUUCAUUCGUAGAGAUUCAAAUUCAACUCGAAGUGUCUGGAGGUGUACUUGCUUCGCCCUUGCUGUCCCUUGGUACUUCUUUUUCAAGGAAUCCCAAAUUUGUUUGGAGGAGUCUUUGUUAAGAAUUGUUUCCAAGAUUGAGCAAUCAAUAGCUUGGAACAAGUAAUUCUUUGCCUUGAGAUCCUUUAAUCGUUUCCCUUCAAGCACUAUUUUCUGAGCAUCCGUCAAAACUACACCGGCUGGUGGUUCAGUUAUUCUAGUUGAAACAACCUGCCAAUACUCCUUGGACCUUAAGAAACUCUCCAUCAACAUGCUCCAAUGGUCAUAGUGACCAUCAAAGCGGGGAAUUGCAGGUUGAACAAAAUUCUCAGAAGCCAUGAAUUUCUGCUGCUGCAACACGAGUGAAAAAAGAGCCAAGUAAGCUGUUGUUACUAACUCUGUCAAUCCCACUUUUCUAAUUCAAGCUCUGAUACCACUGUUAUAAGUGAAUAUGAAAUAGUUCACUCAAAGCAAGGAUACAUGGAUGAAAGUACUACACAUUUUAUUCACAAUGAGGUUGCCUUUUAUAGGCGUUACAUGAACAAACUUAACGAAAUAAUAGCAUCCAUUAUUCAACAAAAUAUUACAGCCACUUUCCAGUAACUAUAGCCUAAAGACUAGGUAAACACAAUCUUGCAAAUAACAUUACCAACAAACUUUCUAAAGACUAGGACCAUAAAAGCAACUUAUUGACACAAGGAAAUUCCAACAAUAAUUCAUUGAAUGAUUUGUCUUAAUUAUAUAUCAAUUUACUAAUGUAAUUUGACUACAUUGAGCUGGAUAACAUAUGAGAUUUAAUUAACCUUGAAAUGACUGUUAGACUUAUUAAAUCUCAUAGGCAUUGAUUUUACUGUAAUCUUAAUCUUGAGUUAGUUAUGAUUUCAUAAUUGUAAUUGUUAUUCCAUUUGAGUUACCAAUGGGCACGACACACAAUUAUGGUCAAGAUUACCCGGUAUCUUGGUGGGAGCAAUUAUGAGUAUUGGAGUUAUAGAUUAACAAUAUAGAAUUUGUAUGACGCAUCUCUUGAUGGGUUUUUGGCACUUAAUCAUAAAAUUCUCUGGCCAGAGUGUGUCAACAUAUUUAGUAUGUUGAAAAUGAUCAUUAGAGAAAACCAGUAAGUAUGAAAGAACAAGAUGUAAUUAAAUUGAUUGGACAGUUGAGAUAUCAAUUUAAUUAACGAUGUGGUACAAAGGAUUGAGUAGUAAAGAAAUCAGUGUGGCUUGGGACGAAUUAUUAUUCGAACAUACAAUUAUGGAGGUCAGUUCCAAUCUUAUAGUGGAGUAGAGUUGGAAUUAAAUAAUUAGGCUUAUUUAAUUACAGGCUUAAUUUUUGUAGCCACUAUUGUAUAUUCUCAAAUGAUCCCUGGGUUAGCUCAUUUAAUUGACUGCAUCGCUACUGGAUUAAUAAGUAAGAUAACUAACUAUUUAGGUUAAAAGCCUAAAUAUAUUAUUUAGUGGGAGACUCCAUUAAUAUGCUUGAGUGUAAGGGGCCUUAUGUUAUUUUACAAGGUGGACCCCUAUAACACAUGAACAAGUAACGUGACUUUUGUUUUAAUUAUUUUUUAAUUUAAAUAAAAUGGGAUUUAAUAGAAUUAAUAAAUAAAGAAAUAUUGAGCCUAGGGUUUCCACUAAAUAGAGAUAUAAAAAGGCUUAUUUUCUCAACAAAAAAAAAAUAGACAGAGGUCACAUUAUACAAAUAAGAGAAAAUGAUUUUCUCUCUAAUUUUGAGAGAAAAAUUUUCUCGUGCUAGUUGCUUUAGUAGUGAUAAAGGCGCCCACACGUCAAGUGUAGAUCAAACCUGAGUUAUAGCCUGAAAGAUUAUUUGGUGGCGGAUCGUGAUCUAACAGGAGUAGUGGGGACGGAUCGUGGUCUGGGAGCCUAAAUCACUUUAGUGGAAAAAGAAAAGAUUGUUCAUCUUCUCAAAUUUUCAAGGUACGAUUUCUAGAUUACAAAUUCUUAUAUAUUGUAUGAGAUCGAUCCUAAAAGUUUUUUUUAAAAAAAAACUGCUUUUUUCCACAACAAUAAUUAGCCACCGGUGUCUCGUCUGUCCAUGUGAGUUUUUACUUGUUUAAUUUGCUUGUGGGAAGCUUAUGUAAUCAAAGAACAAGUUGUGAUUGUGUUUUGUUGCGUUGCUAGUGGUUCAGUAAUUGGGACUACUUUGAUUAUGUUUUGGUAAUAGAUUUUACUAGUUUACUAGUGUUUCAGUAGGAUUUUUCUUUUUUUAAAUUAUUAACUUAUGCAUCUAUUGAAAUCUGAACUCAAAACUUAAGCCCCAAAGAAAUUGCUUGUUACCGUUGGAAUUAGACUUGACUUUCGUAGUUUAUUAAUCAACUUGCUUACUAGGUAGCCUUGCCGUAUGAUAUGGUUUGCUAUCUUAUGGGUAGUGAUGUUUCCCUUGCAAUACCCCUCGCAUCUGUGUAAGGACAUCCAUCUAAUUUUGUUGAUAUUUUUGGAAGUUAAACUUUCAUCCUUAAUUUGAAUGAUUGAAAGAUAAUAUAUAAUUUUAGCCUCGGUUGAUUCAAAAACGGUAGAUUUAAAAGAGAGAUUGAUUCAAAAAGAUUAAAUUAAACGUUCAAAAUAAUUUAUAAAAAAUGCAAGAUAUCCGCAAACUGUCUAAAAUACUAUCCUUUAAUCAAUAAUAUUUUAAAUAAGGAGAUUAUGGGUGGACCAAAAAUCCAUGUACCAAGCCCAAGCAAACGCGCAGAUUUAACAACCCGUUUGGAGCAGCGGCGUUACCAAAUUAUUUAUAGGUUUGGGUUCGGUUACAAAAACUCAACCACAAAAAUAAAUUUAUGUUCACUUAAAUUUCUAUAAAAAUCUUCUAAAACCCCUUUAUAAUUGUCUCCUUCUUUAAAAUUACCGUAUAGGACAAAAUUAUAUCUCAUUAAACCCACCGUAAACAAUUCUUUCACCGACAAUUUUUCUCCUGUACGUAUGUACUUCUGUUAUCUUAGAGUUUAUACGAAAAUUAUUGAAACCUCAAAAUACAACUACAGAAAAAUCUCAAAAGCCGGUAACAACCCUGUUAAAAAUCAAAAUAAUGAUCAUGUUAGAAGACCAUUCCCUGUCAAAUUCCAUUGAAAAUUGAGUGCAUAUAUGACUUAGGCAAAAUAGAGAAAAAAAAAUCAGUUUGAGCUUUAAAAUUGUUGUAAACUGGGUAGUCAAAGGAGUGCCAAUAGUCCAACUCAGUUCAUAUUCAUUUAAAUCUGAGAUGAAGAAAUAAACACCACAAAAUAAACUUAAAUGUUGGAAACUAAUUCUAACCCAACCUGAAUAGAUUUUUAUUGGAAUUUUUUUGGUUUAAGUUACUCAAUAGUUUUAGAGUGGAGCUUCUAACAUCCCAUUAAAACUCAUAAGAAACACUACUUAUUCAUUUUUAUAUCUCUUUUUUUAUGAAAUUACAAAAAAGUCCAUAGAAUUACAAUAGAGUUUUAAUUAAACUUCACUAUCAUUUUAGACAUACUUUUUCAUAAUAAAAUUAUUAUUAUUAAGUAAUUUAUUUCCUCAUUAUCACAAAAUUAUUUUUGACUUUAUCAAACAAAUAAGGUUAAAAAAAUAGUUAGGGGUUUAUGAUUUAUAAAGACAUUUUAGUUUAAUUAAAUUCUUAUUUUUUUCUUUUGGUAAUUUCGAAGAAUAUUAAAGGGGUGUGAAAAACAGUACUCAUAAUUGAAUUAGAUCAAAACUUUCUCAACCCAAAUACGUUUGGAUUUGAUUGGGUUAAUCCCAACAUUCACUCACCCCUAAAAUGGCUUUAUAUAUAGUCAUUAUUACGAAAAAUAUAAUCAUAGCGUCAACUCUUAAGUAAACUUUUUGGUUGAGAGAGGCGUAGAUCACUAAACAUGUAUUAGUAGUCAAAAUUAGAAGAGGAACUUUAUCUAGAUUACUACAUUUACCAAAUAAUAUUAUAAAAUGUAAAAGUUUUAAUGGGGUGUAUUAAACGGGGUGUACCCCAUCACUAUCUUAAGAAUGGUGAUUUUGAUCCCUUAUUAUAUCUCACAAGCCCCCCAUUUUUCAGUUAAUUCCAUUAAAAAUUUUAAACAAAUCUUUAUCUCUCAAUAUACCUUACCUAAUCUCUAAUUUACCUUUAUUUUAAUUUUUUUUCAUACACCCAUUGUAUAAAUUUUAUAAAAUCAUUUCUUAAAAAAAAAUCUCAUAAUCAUUGCAAUUUCUCAACUUUUUUUUUAAGGUUUUAUCCACCACUUAAGAUUUGAUAGUUCCACCAAGAAUUGGAGCAAAGAACCAUGCCGAGUCGGCCCUGAAUAACCUUAGUAUCGUGCUAAGCCUAUCAAGCCAAAGUUGAGUGAAGGAAUACAAGAAUUUGGCCGAGGGGUUUGACGUGAUAAAGAUAGAGAUUUUUUAUUAUUAUAAUUGAUUUGGAGCUAAAAAGGGGAUUCUUGAUUUCCUUUUGUGUGCAUCCCAAUCUUGUAUUCAAGUUUAUCUGUUCAUGGACCAGAAUGCAUUGCAUUUGGAAAGUGUUUGCAAUUGUACAGUGAUAUUACUUGGACAGUAAUUUGGCGUUGCAAUGCAUUUACAGAACGAAUGAAAAUUUGGAAUCGCGAUGAAAAAUGUUGUCAGGUAUCUAUCUGAGAAUGAAAGCACUCGUUGUCAGUCUCUAUGAGAUUGCAGUAUAAAAUUUUACAUUGUUCUUCAAUAUUUUGAAUAGAAUGCCUUACUUUGAAUGGAAUGGCUCAGUUUAAAAAGUUAGAAGAAAUUAGAGUUUAAGAAAUUAGAUUCGCUUAAUUAGUUAUUAAUAGAAAUUUUUAUGCCGGUGCACUUAAAAAUUAUUUAUUAUUUUAAGUUAUUUCACAUGAGGAUAAAAUAGGUAUUAACAUAAAAGUUAUUAGUGUGGGUUGAUAAGAUAUAAUGAGAGAUUUAAACAUCACCACUCUACUCAUGGAGAAGCUCCAAAAACGAUCUCAUUGGUCGAAAAAGGCCAGACCCAUUGAACGAGGACCCUUAAAAUUUGAUCCUAGCUUGACCCAUACGAUAGGUUGAAUAGGUUAGUCCUUUACACAAUCAAAAUAAACUUGUGAGUAGGGGUGGGAAAAUAACCCAAUCUGAUUCAACCAAAAAACUUGAGUUCAGAUCGGAUGUAGAUCAAUUUCUCAAUCCAAUCAGGUAGGAAUUUAUCCAAAUCGAUCCGAAAAUACACACAAUUAAAUAAUAUUAUUUGAAAUUUUUUAUCCAUUCCAAAUAUAAUUCGGAUUCAAUUAUAAGUCUGGAUUACUUUUUUCCUAACUCGAUUAACCGGAACUCGAACCCGAUCCGAAUAUGAAUUUGCCGACCCCUACUUAUUAUCGUUUACACAUUACAUUUGUGACUAUCAUUUUCAAACUAAAAUUUUCUCUUGAUGCGAAUAAGAAAAAAAAAACAUAGAGUAAAUUUCGUUUAAAAAAUGAGGCACCAUAGAUGGACCGUACAUAUGGUACAGCUAGCUGAAAUGGAAGUAGCCUUGUGAGAGCUGCCUAUUUUGGAUUCAGGAUGAAAUAUUUAAGAAGCAAGCAAGUAAAUAAAUCAAGAAAAUAAUAUUCGGCCACCCUCAUUCCAGAGGGAAGCCAAAAACGACAUACUUAUGUGCCGUUUUAAAGUUUUAGAUUUGAAAAUUAAAAAUAAAUUUUACCAUUAAAAAAUAAUAAAAGCUAAUCAAAAGAAAUUAAAAAAUCUAAAUUCUUAUCCCUCCCCUCGCUCACCCCCUCUCUUUGACUCACCCCGCUCUGUCCCUCUCACUCUCACCCACGAAGCUCGUUCCCCUCUCACUCACCCACAAGCUCGCUGUCAAUAUUUUUCUCAGAUCUCAGUUAACGCAUCAUCAAAACCGCAACCAUGACGCUAGGCUGAGGAGGAUCCAGUGUCGUGGGUCAGUUUCUUGUCUGAUCUUGCCAUUUUUUGUUCAAUCUAUUUAUGCCCUGGAUUGAUUUAUUCUCUUUGUUUUGUUGUAUUUCUUGUUCUGGCAAAAUCUAUUUGUCUAAGUCACAUACAGGUCGUAGCCGUUGCUUUUAUUAUUUUAUAAUUUUUUUGGGUGGUUUUGUGUAGUCUUAUGAACUUUCUUUUUGGCAUAAAUGCAUCUGGGUUGCUACGUGCCUACGUUUGAUUGUUAAUUAGACCUGAUCCGUAAUUCUAUGCGUUUUUUGCAUUUUUGAUUGCGAAAUUAAGUUAAUUUAGUUUAAUAUGAUUACAUUAUUGUCACCUAAAAUUAGUAUAUUUAAUCAGUUAAAGAAAUUCUUUUGACACGGACUUUAUGAAACCUUGUAUGUGAUACUUUUCUUAGCAAAGUACUUGGAUUUUGGAUUUUUUUUAUUUAUAUUUUAAAAUUACUAGAAAUAAGUUAUUUGAAGUGUGAUACUUUGUGAAAUGUUAAAGCUUACGGUUUGGUUGUAAUUCUGUUUUUGCUUAUAUAUGUUUACGUCUGUUGGCAUUCUUUUUUUUUUGGUAUUUGAAGUUUGCAUAUAUGGUGUGUAUUAAGAUUUUCAAGUGGUUCUUCAAACAUAUUCUGGGUAGUUUGAUAUAUCACAUGUUUCUGUGAAUUCUUUAGUUGAGGCAAUUGUCUUUGCUCUUAGCUGCAUUAUUAAGUUCUUUACCACAUAGAAUUCCCUAAUUUUCUUCUGCUAAUCCAGUAAUUGCAGCUUCAUUGUAAGGUUCUUCAUUUUCUAUAAAGCAUAUAUUGCUUCAUCAACCCUCCUCUAAAUAUGUUGCAAAUAUGUAUUUGAUUCAUUCCAAUCUUACAGAUCAUUGUUGGAUGCCGAAUCAGCAUACAAUGCUUACAAUUGUGAGAGAAAAAUGAACAACCAAUUGCCCGGUUCAGUUACGCUUUAAGCUAGGAAGAUUGACGUAGAAACAUUUGUUUAAGUGUAAUUACCUAGGUAGGUGAAAAAGGUCCAAAAUCGUCAAGCACACUGUCAACUAAGGCUGGUCGGCGACGUGAACGGCGUGAUAGCGAUGUCGGUGAUGGGCUGGUCGGCGAUGGGCGUGGCGUGACAACAAGUUUCGUGGGUGAGUAACAGCCUGAGAGAAAUAGCUCGCAAGUGGGUGAGUGAGAGAGGCAGAUCGGGUGAGUGAGAGAGACAGAGCUGGUGAGUGAGAGGGAAGGUGAAUGAGAGAGAGACAGAGCAAGCGAGUGAGAGGGACGGGUAAGAAUUUUGGAUUUUUCAAAUUCUUUAGAUUUAAUUUUAAUAUUUUUCAAUGGUAAAAUCUAUUUUUAAUUUUCAAAUUUAAAACUUCGAAACGGCAGAGGAAGCAUGCGUUUCUGGCUUCGUUAUGGUCUCGUGGUGGCCGAAUAUCAUUGCCCAGUAAAUCAUGAUUCUUCGAGAGACCGAGCAACCGCUUGUGAAAACCCUUAGACUAAGUCCUAACAACCCUUAGACUAAGUCCAGCACUUACCAUACUGUGUCCUAUAUAAUUGAAACGUAAAUAGAUUAUUGACAGCAAAACAAAAUAAUAACUUAAUAUAAUGACGUGUAACAAUGUACAUUUUUUAUUUUUUAUUUUUGUCAAUUAUGCGUUAGUGUUUGAUGCCCUUGUUUCAAAAAUAAAUAAAAAUUGAUGCACAUGUACCGCAAUGUCAGUUCUGAGGGAGCUGUGACGAGUAAUGAUUAAACUAUUAAUUAUUAAAUAUAGCAAGUAAAUUUUGAUGCCAUCAUUUUAAAAAAUUAAUAAAAAAAUAAACAAAUUGAUAUUCAUGUGCAUGUCUAAUGCUUUAUUUAUAUAAGAUUAAAAUUCUCUUUUCAUCUGGGUUUUUAUUUGAGCAAAUACAAUUAUUGGUAGUUAACAUAUAGAAGCACAAUUAAAAAAUAUAUCUUGACCGUGCUCACGUACACGUUGAAAGAAUUAAAGAAAAGGAGCCCUCUAAAUUCUGUUUGUUUGAUAAGAAAAUGAAUAGAAAAUUUUAUUGAUUCAAAGAGAAAAUUUGUUCGCUGGAUUUUUAUUUGUAAGUCUUACUAAUGAAUUGAGAGUACAUUGAUAAAUAUAGCUGUGUGUGGAAACUUCUACUGCAACAAACUCGUGUCCACAUUUCCAGCGCGCUAACUAUAACAACCUACUGACUAAGUUUGGAAGGAAAUAACAACUUGUUUAACUGUUUUACAACUUGGCUGCUGACUCAUCAUUACACUGAAAACCCCAGCUGACUUCAACUGCUGACUUAGCAUUUAUUCUUAACAGAAAGAUAAUGAUAAAAAGUUGCUUCAGAAUUCGUGGGCACGCACGCACGCUACUUGUAGAACUCCAUAACCCAUAAGUUGUAAAAAAAGCAUACAAAUCUGAUGCCACUAAAUCCAGCUUCAGUAGCCAAGGUCGUGAAUUCAUGCUUUGUUCGCUCCUUUCCUCCCGGAUAUUGAGUCAUCACCAGCACAUCAGCUAGGGAAUUUAUUUUUGAAUGAGUGCUAGUCUCAGGCAGUUCUGGAAGUACUGACUCCACAACAAUUACCUUCCCUCCUUCGGGAAUACUUUUGUAGCAAUUCUUCAAUAACUUCAAGCAAUGUUCAUCGCUCCAAUCGUGCAGUAUCCACUACAAAAUUUGAAAUAUUAUGAAAUUUGUUCAGGGAUCGAACACCUAAUACCUGCAAAUUAAAUUCAAAUGAAACUUACCUUGAUCAAAAUGGCGUCGCCAUUUGGAACACUUUGAAACAUGUCACCCCCUACAUGCUUAACACCUGUACUACAUACAAUUUAGUUUCCGCUGUUAGGAUCUAGCGGUAUGGGCAGAGAAUUCAUAAGAUAACUGAUAUUCGGGAAAAGAAUUUAGAUAAAAUUCUGACAAAAACAACAAUAAAUCAACCCUGAUUUUUUCACUAAAUUGCAAUAUAUGGUAAAUCGAGUCUGUUUUGAUGUUUUUUGUCAGUUUUUUCUUGUUGCAACAUUUUGUGCUUUUACCCUUUUUUUCCAAAUGAUAAUGUAUAUUUCUUCACAACAAUGACAUUAAAAAAAAAAAAAAAGAGAUUGGAAUCAAUUUUCUAAUUAACUUCCUACUUUCUCCAGGAUUUAUAUUGGGAUGAUUAAUUAAAGAAAGCUACUUAAAAGCCACUUGACCAAGUCCCUAACAUUAUUAUAAAGAUAAUUGAUAGUUCAUACCAGGAUACUCAGGGGAAUGCUGUAUAACGUGAGGCAAGUCGAAAUUGAUGCCCUUAAUGUGGGGGUACUUGGAAGUAAUUGCUUUAAGGGUAUUGCCAAGGGAACCGCCAACAUCAACCAAUUGCUUUAUGUGCUCGAAACCCUUGUAAGCCUCAAGGAUUUUCUGAAGGACCAAAGUGGUAUGGUUGAACAUCGCUGUGCUGAAAACUUCAUUGAACCUGGGGUCCAAUCCUAGGUACUCGAAAGCGUUCGUUCCGUGGACUCGGUCAAAUGGAACUCCUCCUUCAAUAAUAGUUUCUUUCAGUUGGGACCUACAUGACCAGUUAAUCAAUCAUCAUUUUGCGUUUGGCCUAACUUUUUUAGAUACAAUGGUUAGUGGUUGAUAAAAACAAAAAUAAUAAAGGGAUAUAUCUAUAUUAUAUAUAUGACGAUGUAUACGUUUCAUAAAAUCCCUUAACAGAUAAGAUGAGUAGAGGAUUCAUUGCCAUUAAAAAUUUUAUGUUAUAUCUUAACUCAUAACUGUCACAUACAUCUUUAUGAAAACGAGAAAAAAAAUGGAAAUCAGGGUAAUAUUAUCAUACGGGUGGGUUGCUAAAUUUUAGCAACGUCACAAAUUAGGAGAUAUGUAGUUUGUAGGACUUUUACAUAUAGCUAGGUCCUGCUGUUAUUUUUUUUUCCUUAAAAGAUUUUAUUUCUAAUUCUCUCCAGGCAAGUGAUCAUACCACCCCAAGUGAAUCUUUUAAUUCAGCGAAAUUCUACGGACGAAGUUAAGAAAUUUUUGUUCUUCCAGGAUUUCUGUCAGAACUGAAGAAACUACUCAAUUAAUGCUUUCAAUAGAACAAAAUACAUUGUCUUUUUCAUAUAUGUUACACUCAUGUCCUCUAUAAUUAAAAGACAAAAAUACCUCGGAAAGAAAACAUAUUUCCUCAUAUCUUCUGUAGCUGCAAGUAAUUAAAACACCACCAACAAUAGUUUACUCGUUCUUGAAUUGAUAUGACUAGAAGUAUAUUUAAUAAUGAUUUAUAAGUUUGACAGUGAACCUUCUACAUUUUAUCGCUCACUUAUAUGAACACGUUUGUUUUUCUUUUUCGAUGACCUGAGUUUAGAAAUAAGUUGAGUAUGAAGUCGAUUAUGAUUUAAGACUUGGGAGAAAUGCAUGAUUGGAUCUGAAGGCGUAGAAAGAGAAUUGUAUUAUAAACCCAUGUAUUUUUACCCUAAUUAACUUAAAAAAAGAAAAAUUCAGAGGAUUAAAAUGAUAGAGUGGACAAACCAGCUGUCGAGAAAGGCCUCGUCCUGAAUUAAGGCCAAUACAGGGCCUAAUGAGACACCAUCUUGAUUAGGCACAAAGUAUUUGGAAACAUCAUUCAAACCGUAUAGCCUGUGAGAACCAUCUACAUCAUCAAGUGAGCAUUCAACAAUACCAUAGCUAGCCAGAAGCCCGAGUAUCCGGUCCAGCAUCGUGGGUGCGUCUUUGUUCUUGGUGGCGGGCAACUGAGCGGCAAUCUCUGAAGCUGAGAGCUUUGCUCCAGGACCAGCUUUGGCUAUGAUCUCCAAAAGUCCCAGCUUAAUUACUGCUUUCAUGGUCAUGUGGAGCACUGAACCCGUCAUCACUUCACAGGCAUAUGCAAAGUUUUCGUCUCUCGCUUCAUUAGCCAUAUUUUCUUGAAUUUCCUUAUCUGUUUUCCUCAGAAACAAUGCAUUUAUAGUGGAGUGAAGAGUUACUGUGUGUCCAAGAUUUUAGGUUGUAAAAUCUGACCCGGAAGUUUUCGAUAGUUCAAGUUAGACUAAAUGACAGAAAUUAAAUUAUGAUAAAACUUUUUCAAAGAUAAAAGUAUGGAAGCUUGGCAACUCUAAAAAAAUUAUAUUAUUAGGGAUAAAAACUUUAUUUAAUUUGCAUAAAUUGAAAUGACAUAUUGCAUGAUUCUACAUGUCUCAUAUUAUUUCUUUUAUUUUGUCGACUUUAAAAAAUCUGAACGGCCAACCUCUUCGAAAAUGUAUUCAAUAGUUUUUUAUAGCGAUGUAUUGUUCAAUAGUUUUUUAUAGCGAUGUAUUGGAAGUAAUUUAAAAGAUCAAACAUUUCAAAUGAGAUCCUAUUAUCAAACAAGAGGAAUUCUAAAAUAUAUCGGAGGUAUUAUGUCAGUUACACAAUAAGUCAAUAAUAUUAUGGAAUGUGUGCAUUUAUUUGAAAAAUUACCAUGCAAGUGGUAGUUAUAUUAAAUCCAAUUACACACGUCACAUAUACAUUGAUUAGUUGUAUUACCCUGAUUUAUUCUAAACUUUAUCGUCAAACAGAGAGCUUUUAGUUGAAAUGAGGAACUAUAAUUAUUUCCUGACAUAAGUUUUUCCUUUGAUUAUAAUAUAUUAACAUUUCAUGUGAGGAAAUAUUAGUUUAACAUUUUUUUUCCUAUUAUAACAUGUUCUAAAAAAGGAUUAUAAUUCUUAAUUAGUUUUUUUUCUCAUCUAGUCUUUUUUGCCAUGCAAAAUUGGAUUGGAUUAAUUAUUAGAAUAAGACUGAAUUAGAUUACUUGGAUAAAGUCGGAUUAUAUUAUACUGUCUUAUGUUUGGUGUAGUACGAGAUUGAACUAUGUUAAAUUAUAUUUCAAUGAUAUAAAUAGCAUUUAAGUUGAUAUUUGAAUAUGAACAUCAAUUAUUCAUGAAAUUUUAUAACAAUAAGGAAACAAAUUUAAAAAGCAAUUAAUUAAAAAAUUAAGUAUAUUGUAAAUAAGUUAUUAGGUAGUCAUAAUAUAAUCAACAAAUGAAAAAGAAAUAAAAAUUUUAAAUAUUUAAUUAAUUUUUAUCAAAUAUUUAAAAAAAUUAUAUAAAAUCAAUUAAUUCUGGUAUUUUUAAUUUUCAUGAUUAUUUUUUAAAUUAUAUUAGUGAUUAUUAAAUUUUAUACAAUCACUAAUGCAAUAAGUUAUUAAAUGGUUAAUUUAUAAAUUAUUAAAUAUACAAGUAAUGAAAAUUUAAUCUCAAGAGUUAUUAGAAGUAAAAUUGUCAAUUUAAUUAGAUCAUAUAUAAUAAAUAAAAAUCUUAAGUAAAUCAAAUAAAAAUCUUAAGUAAAUCAUAAAUAAAAAUUAAUUGAUUAAUUAAUAUUAACAGAUAAUUUUUCUUUAAUUUUAUCCAACUAAACAAAUAUGUAAAUUAGGAUUACUAAUCCGAUGAUUUUAGGAUUAAAUUCAAAUUUAGUCUCCUUUAAUUCAAUUCAAAUAAAUUUAUCAAAUAUAAAAUAAAUAUUUAAUUUUAGAAUUAGUGCAAUUCAAUACUUAAUCCUACAUCCAAACAUGGUCUCAGUUGUCAUAAAGGUAACUUAGAAAGAGUCGUAACCGAAAACAUUUAUAAAGCCAUUUUUUCUUUUAAUUUUCAGGUUCAUAUAUAUAUAUAUAUAUAUAUAUAUAUAUAAUCUUUCUGCCAAUGAAGCGCCUGCCAAUCAGAGAAGUUAAUUUUUUAAUAUAUUUUUCGACGCCGGCCCCGCCCCUGAUCUUAUAGCUUUGACUCCAGAUGAAUGAGGCUUUUCAUUCAUGUUAUUCUUUGAAAGAUCGUGAUUCCAAAGGCUGCUGACAAAAGAAGAUUCUUGAGGCUGCCAAUCAUGGCCAUCGCUGCAUAAAUAUAUAUAUAUUAAAUCAAACAGGAGUGCGGUUACUUUAUACGUACAACUUGGGUUCUUGCCUUGCUGCCGUCAUGGAGAAUUAAUGCCACUGGUCAACGGUGAAUCAAUGGCCAUCGGGCACCAAAUUCAUGACCAAUCAAUGGCCAACAAGCACCAAAUUAAUGCCAAGCACACCAACAACCACCGAUUAAAUGGCAAGUUUAGUGUUUUAAAGUUUAGAAUAUGGAGAAGGACUUGCUACUGUAUCCAGGUAUUAAAUCAUCAAAAACCAAUUUGGUUUGGACUCUUCAAUUUCAAUUUGACUUCUACACCAACACCACACAACAACUCAACAACCGAAUCACUCGUCCUAAUAGCAUAGCAAUCCAGUCGUCGGUUGCCCGCACGUGAGAGACUAUUUUCUUAUUCGUGCUCGGAAUUGUUGAAUUAAUUUUACAAUUCUCUUGUACCAAUUUUCAUCAUAUAUGCUCCCUCAAGAAGUGAAGAUCGAUGUCGGAAUCACUUUAAUUUAGUUUCAAUUACAUGAUGUUUGGGAUCUUCUUAUACCAAUUUCGGUCUACAAUUGCCUCAAGUAUCUAUGUCCGUCAAAUCUUAUUUGUAUUAAAGCAACCGCUUAAACCGUUAACCUGUUUGAUUUAAAAAACAAAUAUUUGGAGCUGUUAGAUUGAACUCGUGUAAAUUAGGAUUACUAAUCCGAUAAUUUUAAAAUUAAAUUCAAAUUUAGUUUCCUUUAAUUCAAUUCAAGUAAAUUUAUUAAAUAUGAAAUAAAUAUUUAAUCUUAAAAUUAAUCCAAUUGGAUACUUAAUCCUGACAUCCAGACAAGGCCUUAUUUGCCUUAAAGGCAACUUAAAAAGAGGUGUGACCAAAAACGUUUAUAAAGCCAUUUUGUUUUUCGGGUUCAUAUAUAUAUAUAUAUAUAUAUAUAUAUAAUCUUUAUGCCAAUGAAGCGCCCAUCAAUCAGCGAAGUUAAUUUUUUUUUAAUUUCUUUUUCGACUGUGAUUCCGGAGGCUGCUGUCAAGACAAGAUUCCAGAGGAUGCUGAUAAGACAAAUUCAAAUUGACCUUUUUAAUAAUUAUUAUCUUUUCUAAGGUUUAAAAUUUUAUGUGUAACGUACAGCUAAUGUGAUGUAAGUUUUACCUGAUGUAUGAGUUGAUGAACCAUCAUGGUGAAAUCAAAAUACAAAAAUAAUAGAGGUCAAUAACGGCAUUCAAAAGAAAAGAAAAAUUAAAACACAAAGAAAAUAAGGCCGUUGGAUUCGUUUUUUCAAUUUUUUUUCUGAAUAUUAAUACGUUACAAUGAAAGAACUUGCUAAUAUUUUCCAUAUUGAUCAGGAUAAAAAGAUUGUUGAUACAAUCAUACGUCAAUUUUGUAAUAUUAUAGUACAAUUCAAAAGUUUUAUUUUAUUUUAAAAUAUAUUUAUCCUACAUAUUUAUAAAAGAUAUUGUAAAAGAAUUAAAUUAAUUAAGAUUAAAUCUUCCUGCAAUCAUACUUGUUCAAGCUUCAAGUGUUCUCUACAUUCACUAAAUUUUAUAAAAGUAUCUUCUUACUUUUUCUACUCUAUAGCCUUUCUCUUGUGAUGGAAAAUAAAUUCUUAACAAGCAUAGACUUGGAUAGGCUAGAAACCCUUUUUAUAACAAUAUUUCAUAACUUAGAAGACUUUACACUUCCUCCAUCAAAGAAGUGAAUUUAAUAACCUUUAGCACUUCGAUUAUGAAAAUGAUUAGUAAACUAUAAUGCUAUCCCUUGAAAUAAAUAAGUAGGUUAUUAAUAUAAGUUUAUCUAUUUAUUUAAAAAAAAUCACUUAUCAUGUGGACUAUAUAAUGAAACUUUGUGGAGAUAUAUCUACCCACAUUUAACUAUAUAAUGAGAUAUGAAAUUAGAGGUCCAAGGAGUAGUACUCAAAUCUACAACCUCAAAAGUUGAGGUCGUGGCAGGCAAAAGAAAAAGGAGAACCACGUGUUGCUGGAAAAGGAACUUACAUGAGUAACUGCAAAUUAAGCAAACACUAAAUUUUUCCCUCUUUAUAUGAUAAAAUCGGAAUGUGUAUAAAAAAUAAACAAGCAAAAAAUAAAACCAACACAAUUGAAAACAAUAAAUCAACCAUAAGAGAUACAAAUUAUUUUAUGUGGAAAACUCAAAUCGAGAAAAAACCACAGGACCAUACAGGGGCGGAUGCAUCAUAAGACCAGUGGGGACUUGAGCCCCCACUAGGCAAAAAAAAAAUUCUAAAAUUGAAAGAGAAAAAUAUUUUCGUUUUCUAAUUAACCCCCAUUAAUUUAUUAAAAUAGUCACUAUAAAUUAUAAAACCCUAUAAAAUUUAAACUUUAACUUUUAAAAAUUAUAAAAACUUAUAUUUUAAUUAAAAAUAAUAAUAGCCCACCACCCAAAAUAUUUUAUAUUCUUAAAAAUAGGAUUAAUUCUUCAAGUUUCUAUAAUAAUAGUAGAGCGAACGUUUUCAGUAAUGAAACUCAUGAAGAAUCAUCUUUGGAAUCGGAUGGGAUAAAUGAUAGUUUUGUUGUUUAUAUAGAAAACAAUAAAUUUAAUAAUAUUGAUAAUGAGUUUAUUGCAUAACAUUUUUAAAAUAUGAAAAUGCAUAGAGAAUAAUUAUAAAUGUAUUAGCAAAUAAUUUAUAUAUUCAAAAUUUUAGUUUUUCAUAUUUUACUACUAUCUAAUUUAGCCCCCAGUAAAUUAUUUUUCUAGAUCCGCCACUGGGACCAUAGUCCAAUAUAACCUUCCAUUAUAUUAAUAAUGGGAUUACUACACAAAUUCUUCUCUAAAUAAUACUAGAGGCAAACAAUAUCAAGAAUCUCAACAAUCUUGCUCAUAGUAAUAGUCUAAUAUUUUUCAUUCUAACAAGUGGGUAUCUUAGAUAACAACCAAUGAGAGAAUGAAAUAAAAAUCAAGACCAGUAAGAAUGUAGAGGGCGAUGCCAGAAAUUGCCUUCCAAAUUUGGGAGAUUAAGUUUGCCUUUCGAUCGUCCAUUCAAAGAUUAAAAUCCUUACCCCCAAAUUGAGUUGGCCAUUGUCUUCUUUUUCUCUCUCAUCUUUUCUAUGUUUUUAAGGCUGCUGCUUCACUUGUCUACUUUUUCUUUUAUAGCCAGGUGAUUUUCAAAGCCAAAUUUGAUGGCAAUUUUCAAUUAGCCAUAACAUAUUUCCUUUAAUUUCUUAAACACCCAAACUAAUGGAAACUUUGGUUUGGGCCACCCAAAUGAGAUGGAUUCAACAAAUCUUCCCAUCAGAUCAUAUGGGGGGCACUACCAAGCCCGUUCUCUACUUACAGUCUUUCAGCUUCUCCUUGGGCAACGACUUUGUCAUCAUAUCUGACACAUUCUUCAUGAAUAUAGUCAGGCUACAACUAUUUCUUUUCAAGCACGUCUUGUAUUCAUUGAUAUCUCACCUUAUAUGCUUGAAUUUCGAAUGGUAUGUUAAAUUCAUUGCCAAGUGAGAGCACUUUGAUUAUCACAGUACACGACAUAGCUAUUUUGUUUCACAUCCAGCUCUUGUAAGAAAUUCUUCACCACAAAGGGUUUUAGUGAUUGCAAUAUACUCUGCUUCUAUGGUGGGGACAACAACACGAAGUUUGAAAUCCUCUUAGACUACCCCCUGCAAAGGUAAGCAAAUAUCCUGAUAGGAAUUUUCUAGGAUCAACAUCUCUUGCCAUAUAUGUUGUACACUUAUAACACAACUUGUCACCAUUAAAACAUAAACAUGUCUUGGAAGUGUUCUUUGCCUGUACUAUAAAGAAACUGACUGAGUACACCGACUGCAUGGGCAAUAUUUGGUACAAGCCAUGGCGUACAUCAGUCUGCAAAGUGUUGAAGCAUAAAAUAGUCCUUUCAUCUGCUGCUUCUCUUUCUCGCUUGUAGGAAAAUGCUUGGAACUAAACCUAAAAUGGCCCGCAAGUGGAGAACAAACAUAUUUUGCCUUGCUCAUGUUAAUUCUUUCAAGAGCACUUUCAAUAAAUGCUUCUUGAGAUAACCAUAACUUGCCAAUUUUUCUGUCAUAGGAAAUCGUCAUGCCAAGAAUGUAUUUGUCGAUCCUUGGUCUUUUAUUAUAAAUGACUUGCUAAGCUUUUUCUUUAGAUUAUCAAUCUUACUAGCAUCAUGGUCAACAAUCAACAUAUCAUCCACAUAAAGCAAAAGAAUGAUAAAAUUAUUAUCACCAAGCUUCUUUACAAAAAGACAAUGGUCAGACAUAAUCUUGCUAAAACCAUGAUUCUCAAUAAAAAAAUCAAACUUUUUGUAAUAUAGUCUUGGUGCCUAUUUCAGUCAAUACAAACUUUUCUUCAACUUGCAUACACUUUCUUUGUUGCCUUUAACAUUGAAUCAUUCAGAUUGCUCCAUGAAUAUCUCCUCCUUUUAAGUCACCAUGCAAGAAACGCAUUCUCAUAUCCUAGAGACUUUCUAUCCAUCAACAUCCAAGAUUUAUCCAUAUUUAGACUAUUAACUUUCCUACAAAUGCAUCACAUUUCAUUUGUUCAGUUUUAUUAAUAUUGGAGUUUGAUAUUGUUUCCAACUAUAAGAACAACUAUUAAAGUUACAAAAUCAACAAGAAAACAGCAGUUAAAAUACAAUAAAAAAUAACACUUAACAGCAAGAGAAAACCUAUAUCUUCAUCAUGACUAAUUAUAACACUAAUAUUAUAAGCCAUAUACCAUAAAUCAUGGAAAGAGCAAAUAAUAUAAUUUUCAAAAAAUAGAGAAAUAGAAAAAAAUAGAAGUACCUUUUGCUAUUCGUUCCAAGAAUCGCGGAGCAGGUAACAACUUAAGAGACUAAAUCACGACUAAAAAUAGAGAAGAAUAGAAGCAAGACUUGUUUUUAGAUUUCUACUGAAAAAGACAAAAUUAUUGAAAUAAAACUUGUCCACGACAAUAAACUAGCUAGCUAUUGAAAUGAUUUAAACAAUCCAUAAAUAAAGUAUUAAAUUAAGUAUGCAAAUGUCACAUGUAGCAAAACAACAUAUGCAAUAUGAUGAAAUUUCAACAGCAAAAUUGGGUGUUAAAACCGUUAAAUAAAAUCCAUUUUUCCAUUAGAGAAAUCUAAAUUUUGAGAAUUUUGGUUUAGCUUGCUUUGGUCAAACUCAGUCACUCUGCACAGUGACAAAGAAAAAGAAGCAGUUGAAACAAAAUGAGAGUGACAUUGCAUAGACUUGAUAGUGAAAUGUCAUUUUCUUGAUGCUAAUUUAUUCCGUUUCUAUUUGGAAUGAUUGAUACAAGCGGAAAGGUGUUAAAGAAUUGCUUAAAAUACUUUAUAGGGGCAAAGAGCAAUUGCAGCAGUUUAGCCAUGUCAAUAAGUAAGAACUUGACCAGUAUGUAAAGUUCACAAAGUAGCUAGAAGAACUCCCGAGAAGGCAUUAGUAGAAUGUAGCCACUAUAAAAAUUUCCACAAACAAAUUAAUUUAUAAAAAAGCAGUGGAUAAGGAGUUAAGCAUACAUUAAUUUGUUUUUGGAACAUACAGCGAAAUUUCCAUAUUGGCUACUAUUCCACUAAUGGUUUCUUUCCACAAUUCCCAAUAUUAAGAUCUAUUGAAAACUAAGCAUACAUUAAAUUGCUUGUGGAAAUUUACAUAAGUCAAUAUAACAGCAGUUGAACUGGAUGCAGUUUGGGUGGAGAAAAAUAGUUUCUGUUCCUAAUUCCCAUUAUUAUGUUCUAUUGAAAAUUAAACAUACAUUAAUUUGUUUCUGGAAAUUUACAUAAGUCAAUAUAAUAGUAGCUGAACUGGAUGCAGUUUGGGUGGAGAAGUAGUGAGCGCUGGUUUUGGUGGAGAUGUUGGAAUUAAAGAGGUACUAAAUAACUACAACUUUAAAUCAAAAGAAAGGUUUGUGCUAAUAUUUGCCAUGCAUAACUUCAACUUUAAAUCAAACUAAUGCUUACAAAUGGCAUGCAUCCAUAUCCACCACGUCGCAUACUACAUCACUCUUAUAAAUCUUUCUAAUGGAGAAAGCAACACGACAUUAUUCGCAUUUUUGUCCCUUUCUUAAUCUACUAUAUUUUGUAAGGUGCUGGAUAUUUUUCUGUUGAAAGUCCUAUCACAUCGAUUAGCGCCUUUAAAAUUAUGUUCUCGCUAUUGUUGAUAUCAAUUAUCACAUUGCACACCUUAUCUUUGAUGGUGCCACGUGUUCUGAAAUCUUACUGCACUAAUUAUCCUCUUCAAAUCUUGGUGCUAAUAAAAUCUUCUACAUAGUGUAAUUCAACAUCUCUCCUUCAUGUACCUCUAACUCUAAAGCUUCUUCAUCAUCCUCAUCCUCAACAUUAUUCAUCUCUGCUUAGCCAUAGCGUUUAUUUUCUCUCUUUCAAAUAUCAAAUAAUGGUUAAUAUUUUCUUCAGGAUUAUCUUUUCUUUCUUGCUUGUGAUGCUGCUGCUGCUGCUGCUCAUGAAUGAUAAAGUGGCGCUAGGGCAAGAUGGGGAUCCCGUGGGAUCAACACAAGGAGGAGGAGGAAGAGAAAUGGUGCCUGCCUUGUUCAUUUUUGGAGAUUCACUUAUCGAUAAUGGCAACAAUAACAAUCUUCCUUCUUUUGCCAAAGCAAAUUAUUACCCCUAUGGUAUCGAUUUCAAUGGUGGCCCAACUGGCCGCUUUUCUAGCGGCUACACCAUGGUCGAUGAAAUUGGUAACUCUCUUUAUCUAUGCAUUUGAUUUAUAUUUUUAUAAUUUUUUUUCCUUUUCAAAAUCCUGAAGGUACAUGAAAAUUUAUAUACACCAUGAUUGCAUGCAAUGCAGGGUAUUUUAAUUGCUGAUCUGACAAAUUAUUAUGAUUACUUCUUUGCUAGCUAAAAAAAAGCAUAAAACAGAUGUCAUUUUUAGAUUUUUCUCCUUUGUAAAUUUGUGUCACACUCUUGAGCAUAGUUAGAAAUAUCUGUGAAGUGAGUUUCAUAGUCAUGGCUUCAAUGACACAAAUCCAAAUUCAUUACAAUUAAUUAAUUGAUUUCCUACUUCUAUCCCUUUUAAAAAAAAUAACAAAAUAAAAGUACUUGUUUAGUUAUCUAUUUGGGGAGGGGGGGGGGGGGGGGGAAGGAAAGACUAUUGCCGUUUAUUGCUCUGCCCCUACCUCUAUAUGUCUCUUUGGGAGGGCUCGCACUGUCCCAUAAUAUUUAUUUCUAAACAAUCACAGUCAUUAUCUUAAAUCAAUAAAAAUAACAGAAUUUUUUCUUUUAUUUUUUACAUUUAUUAUAUCUACACCCACUUAUACCUAACUUGUAUUAAUCCGCAAGUACGAUCUGUUUGGGGAUAAAUUCACCAUAUCUGGUAGGCAUGUCUUAUUAAUGGCUAAAAGCUUCCAUAUGCAUAACCUCUUUAAAUUGUGUCCCCUUUCAAAGAAAAUUUUCUUUUUUGUCCAUUAGCUUUUAUUUACUCUUCACAAAUAUUUUUAAUGUCAUAUUAACCAAAUCUUGUAAAUUCAUCCAUUCAGCUGAACUACUGGGACUUCCUCUGAUUCCUGCAUACUCUGAGGCUUCCGGUGCACAAGUGCUUCACGGAGUCAACUAUGCUUCUGCUGCUGCUGGAAUCCUCGACAUCACCGGAAGAAACUUCGUAAGGACUCAUAUAUCUAAUUCAAACGAACCAGGAUUCCCUUUUGAUCUGAAUUUUAAUUAGAGGAUUCUAUAUCUAACACGAGAUCCGAUCAUUAGUAGAAAAUGUUUGCUGCAUGGUCAGGUAGGUCGCAUACCGUUUGAUCAACAAAUAAGGAAUUUUCAGAACACACUUGAUCAGGUCACUGAUAAUCUCGGAGCAAGUGAUGUAUCAAAUGCAAUUGCAAGAUGUAUAUUUUUUGUAGGAAUGGGCAGCAAUGACUACCUAAACAAUUAUCUCAUGCCCAAUUACAAUACCAAAAAUCAAUACAAUGCUCAGCAAUAUGCUGAUCUUUUGGUUUCAGAAUACUCAAGACAACUCACAGUAAGAUUCAAUUUCACUAUAUUUACAUUUUUUACCAUAUGCAUGCAUUUUAGUUACUUUUUUUUUUAGCUUGUAAACAUAUUUAUAUAACUUGUAUUAAGUAUUGAUUGAAAAUCUACAGACCCUUUACAAUUUGGGAGCAAGGAAAUUUGUGUUGGCCGGAUUAGGAAGAAUCGGAUGUAUUCCAAGAAUUUUGGCUCAAAAUCAAAUGGAUCGCUGUUCAGAAGAAGUGAAUCAACUUGUUAUGCCUUUUAAUGCAAAUGUGAAGACUGUGAUUAACAAUCUUAAUGCCAAUCUUCCUGGUGCAAGAUUCACCUUCAUUGACAUUGCCCGCAUGUUUGAAGAUCUCCUCACCAAUUAUAGAUCAUACGGUAUGCAAUUUUCCCACUAAACAUAUCGUAUUGUAGUUAGAUAUGAUGUGUGCUGUCUAGCCUAAAAUCUUUUAUUUUAAAAUGUGCGGACACUGACAAAAGAUAAUAAAGAUUUCGUCCUCAUAUUUUAAAAUCAAGGAACAAUUUACAGUGGCUGAACUAGGAUUUUGAUUUGACAAGCACGGCCUAGAGGUGGAAAUAACGGAGAAAUUAUCGUCUUG
RNAcentral lists this long non-coding RNA (81414 nucleotides) under Citrus x clementina. RNAcentral describes it as "Citrus clementina (C. clementina) long non-coding RNA (CCLE_LNC004169)". Lineage: Eukaryota; Viridiplantae; Streptophyta; Magnoliopsida; Sapindales; Rutaceae. The record is from RNAcentral.